GGUCCACUAGGAAGGUCCACUACAAUCUAUAUGUUGGGAUAAAUGUUAUUUCCAAGGAGUUAGCUGACACUCUUUAUCCCAACGAGUCCAUAACCCCAUCCCAAAAGCUUUUACAAAGUCCAUCUAGAUUAAUUCUAGAAAGCCAUGGGGUAUUAAGGGCAGUUCCUGUUAGAAUCAAGGACUCUGGAAUAUGCCUAGAUUUUCACAUUUUUGACAUACCGGAGAUUCCUCUCUUGAUUGGUAGACCAAUCAUGAAACUUCUACAAGAACAACCACAACGAGGUCAUUUAGACUUCAAGGUUGGGAAUUCUACUAUUAUUGUUCCUCUUGCUAGAUCAAUUAACACGAUAGUGGAACCCAAACUUGUACCAGAUCCUAUUGAGGAGAUCUUAAUGUUGACUCAAGAGGAGAUGGCCCAACCAUUCUUUAAUCAUGAACACUUUGUUCAAGAAGAAGAAGAGUUGGUAGAACCCGUUGAGCUAGACAAAAAUGAACAACCUUCACCUCCUUCGAUAGAGUUAAAACCUCUUCCUUCUGGCCUUAGAUAUGUCUUUUUGCACAAUAACCCAAAAACUCCAGUAAUUAUUAGUGACAAGCUUUCCGAUUAUGAAACACAACAACUUGUCACUAUUCUUGAAAGGCAUAGAUCAGCAUUUGGCUACUCUCUCGAAGACCUCACGGGCAUUAGUCCCAUUCUCUGCACUCAUCAUAUCCCUAUUGAUCCCAAUUUUACACCUUCAAGGGAACCACAACGGAGACUUAACAAUGCUAUGCGAGAGGUUGUUAAGAAAGAGGUCCUCAAACUCUAUCGUGCUGGGAUUAUUUAUCCUGUGCCACAUAGUGAGUGGGUUAGCCCUGUACAAGUAGUGCCAAAGAAAGGAGGAAUGACGGUCGUUAGGAAUGAGAAGAAUGAACUCAUCCCUCAACGAAUUGUCACUGGGUGGCGUAUGUGUAUUGACUAUCGAAAACUUAACAAGGCUACAAAGAAAGAUCACUUUCCGCUACCCUUCAUUGAUGAAAUGUUGGAACGGCUUGCAAACCACUCUUUCUUUUGUUUCCUUGAUGGUUAUUCUGGAUAUCACCAAAUCCCAAUCCACCCAGAUGACCAAGAAAAGACUACCUUUACAUGCCCGUAUGGAACUUAUGCAUACCGACGAAUGUCGUUCGGAUUGUGCAAUGCUCCAGCUUCUUUCCAACGGUGCAUGAUGUCUAUUUUCUCGGACAUGAUUGAGAAGAUCAUGGAGGUUUUCAUGGAUGAUUUUACCGUCUAUGGCAAAACCUUCGAUCAUUGUUUGGAGAAUUUAGAUAGAGUUUUGCAGCGAUGUGAAGAAAAGCACUUAAUCCUGAACUGGGAGAAAUGUCAUUUUAUGGUUCAGGAAGGAAUAGUGCUAGGACAUAAAGUGUCCGAACGUGGUAUAGAGGUGGACAAAGCAAAGAUUGAAGUUAUUGAAAAACUUCCACCUCCCACGAAUGUGAAAGGAAUCCGUAGCGUUUUGGGACAUGCAGGGUUCUAUAGACGCUUUAUCAAGAACUUCUCUCAAAUUGCUAGACCCCUAACUAGUCUCCUAGCUAAGGAUGCACCUUUCAUCUUUAGUGAUGAGUGUCAUGAAUCUUUUCAAACUCUUAAGAAAGCACUCAUCUCAGCCCCGAUUUUCCAACCACCUGAUUGGAAUCUUCCUUUUGAGAUCAUGUGUGAUGCUAGCAAUUUUGCGGUUGGUGCCGUUUUAGGACAAACCAAGGAUAAAAAGCAUUAUGCCAUAUCCUACGCUAGCAAAACCUUGUCUGGACCACAGCUCAAUUAUACUACAACUGAAAAAGAGCUUUUGGCUAUUGUCUUUGCUAUAGACAAGUUUAGAUCUUACUUAGUGGGGGCAAAGAUAAUCACCUAUUCAGACCAUGCUGCUCUCAAGUACCUCCUCACUAAGAAAGAUGCUAAGCCUCGUCUAAUUCGAUGGAUUCUUCUUCUCCAAGACUUUGACAUAGAAAUCCGAGAUAGGAAGGGAGUUGAGAAUUCCGUAGCCGACCACUUGUCUAGGCUACAAUAUAAGGAAACACAUGAUGAGCUUCCCAUAAAUGACUACCUAAGGGAUGACACCCUGCUUAAGAUAACACAUGCAGAUCCAUGGUACGCAAACAUCGUAAACUUUAUAGUAAAAGGCUAUGUCCCACCUGGUGCAAACAAAAGGAAGUUGCUUCAUGAUAGUCGUUUCCACCUUUGGGAUGAGCCAUAUCUUUUCCGAGUCUGCGCUGAUGGACUAUUGAGAAGGUGUGUUCCUAUGGCUGAGGCUACUCAAAUUAUGGGAAGAUGCCAUGCCUCGCCAUAUGGGGGACACUAUGGAGCAUUUCGGACACAUGCUAAAAUUUGGCAAAGUGGUUUUUUCUGGCCAACGAUGUAUGAAGAUACAAAGGACUUUGUCAGGAGAUGCCACCGGUGUCAAAAGCUUGGGAAUAUUAACUCACGAAAUGAAAUGCCUCUCACAAAUAAUCUUCAAGUAGAACUUUUCGAUGUUUGGGGCAUUGAUUUCAUGGGGCCAUUCCCUAUGUCCGGGAAUUGUGAGUAUAUCUUAGUAGCUGUGGACUAUGUGUCCAAAUGGGUAGAAGCCCUACCUUGUCGAUCAGCUGAUUCAAAACAUGCCAAGAGAAUGUUCCAUGAAGUAAUCUUUCCUCGCUUUGGUAUACCCCGGAUAGUUAUAAGCGAUGGAGGUUCCCACUUCAUCGACAAAAUCUUCCGAAAGUACCUAGCCGAUCAUGGAGUUCGACACAACGUCGCAACACCGUACCAUCCUCAGACUAGCGGUCAAGCCGAAACAUCUAAGAAACAAAUCAAAAAUAUUUUACAAAAGACCGUAGAUGAGAUGGGUAAGGGGUGGAAGGACAAACUUCCUGAUGCACUUUGGGCAUAUAGAACUGCAUUCAAAACACCCAUAGGCAUGUCACCUUAUCAACUUGUAUAUGGAAAAACUUGUCAUUUGUCUGUGGAAGUAGAGUUUAAGGCUCAUUAGGCACUCAAGAAAUGGAACAUGGAUCUCCACCUCGCUAGCGAGAAUCGUCUGAUGCAACUAUCGGAGCUAGAAGAAUGGAGAGAGAAAGCCUACCACAAUUCAAGGAUCUAUAAAGAGAGAACAAAACGAUGGCAUGAUAAGAGAAUCAAGCACAAGGAGUUUAAGCCUGGAGAUAAGGUUCUACUAUUCAAUUCAAGAGUUAAGCUCUUUGGGCAUGGUAAGCUACGAAGUAAGUGGGAUGGACCAUACAAGGUUAUUGACACUUCAACUCAUGGAGCCAUUACCAUCCAAGACGACAUAGGUAACACUUUUAAGGUAAAUGGUCAACGCUUGAAAAUCUAUCUCGAGCCACAAAACAACCUGGUAGAGGAACUUGAUGUGAUUGAGUUCAUGGAAUUCUCGUAUUAAGCUCUCAUAAGCUCUAAACAAUUACCUAACCCUUAACAUGUUCCACAAGUUUUGUUGUCUAUUUGGGUUGUGCAGGAUUUUGAGGCUUAAGAAGAGUGAGACCGAACAUGCAGGCCACAAGAGUGAACGACUAUGUCAACAUCCAGCUUGGGGGAGGCACCCCCACGUGUAUCUAGAUAAGUAUUACUUUUCUUUCUGAGUUUUAUUUACUAGUAUUCGGAAAUAAAAAAAUGCAUAACCAUGAAACCAAACAAAGUUUUUCUUUUGAGUAAUAUACAAUAAUUUUGUGUAAUCCUAAGUUUUAAAUAAAAUAAAAAGAAAGUUUGGUUCAAGUCUAGGUAAUUGACAAACAUGAUAUGAGAAGGUCUGAGCUACUAUUUAACUUGUUCCAAGUUUUGCUAGAGUUCUGGAGAUUUUAUCUUUUGAAAAUCUAAAAAUUCAUAAAAUAUAUAUAUAUAUAUAGAUCAUAAUACAUAGAGUCUUAUAAGAUAUAAAUAUUAAAACUAUGGGCACUUGCUUUGUUCAAGCCAUUGUUAAUUCUUGUAGUUUUGGUUGAGAGAAUUAUCAUGCUCCCAAGAUCAAGAUCUUUUUGUUUUAAAAAUAUAAAAGAUUCACUCUUCCGAAGUAUUAUUGCGUUAGAGGCAUGGGACUAUGCAAAAAUUUGAUUCGAAAAAAAAAGAGAGAGUGAGACGAGAGGUAAAAAUGGACAAAUUUCCGAAGUAGAAUUAGGGGUACAAAGAUACCCACCUGAGUGAAAAAAAAUGGACAUGUGUCCGACAGUAGAAUUAGGGGUACUUGCUGCCCACUUGAAAAAAAAGACUAAAAAAAAGAAAAAAAUAUAGCCCAUGGUCCCUCUAAUAAGCAAUAUGCCAGUAAGAGAUGACAAACUUUUCAAAAAGGUCAAAGGUCUUGAUCUAGGAGUAUGACAUUCUUCUCCCUUGCUCCAAGCAUUGACAUAGCAAAAUGCAAAGUAAGUAUGCUAAAAUUUUUAAAGCUCCACUUAUAUAUCUUUCGAGAAGAAGGCAAAUUCCUCAGUUUUACUUUGGAAACUUAAAAAAAAAACUCCAGAACAAAGGUAAGACAGAAGAACUUGAGACAUAGUGCUUGACUUGAUCGCUCUGUUUUUUAAUCACUUAAGACCUUAAAAACCCUGUAGUAAGAGGCAUAAAAGUAACCCCUAUUUUCUUACUAAUUUUAGCUUUGCUCAGGGACGAGCAAAGGUUAAGCUUGGGGGAGCUUGUUGACGGUCCUUAAUGCUCACAUUUAACCAUCAACUAAUCAUGGAAAAGGAUCCAAAUGCAACCAACACCUAGACUUAGGGUUUUAUCUGAUAGAAUUCCACGAAUUUUGGUGUUUGUCUAUUUCUGCAGGGGGUUAUCAGGAAAUUUGGAGGAAAGGCCCACACGUCGGGUUUACAUAGAGGUAUUAACGUGUCGCGCAACUUUCUACCAUCUAGAAGACUCCAGAAGCCAUGGGCACGAACGGGAGGCCGAGCGGGCUCGAAAGCAGGGCGCCUGCCCUACCCCCCUGGGCGCCCGCCCUCCUCUGCUGGCCAAUCAGCACGAGUCUCGGGGAUUAUGCUCCACCGACUCUAAGGAUCGAGGAAAAUCACAUGAUGAAGGUCGGUUUGAUCGGAUGGUGGAGAAUAACGUGGAAAUUCCUUGGGAGCUACUCUUCCUAGAUUUCUUGGGGGCUACUCUUCCUAGAUUUCUUGGGGGCUACUCUUCCUGGACUAUAUAAGCAGACCCCCACCAGCCCCUGGAGGCAUACCUCUUCUUACAGAAUCAAAGCUAGGGUUUCAAUUCUUCAUCCAAGUAGAGAGGAUCCCUCUAGUUCUUCUAGUUCUACCUCUAGUUCAUCUAGUUCUAGUUCUAGUUCAUCUAGUUCUAGUUCUAGUUCCUCUAGUUCUAGUUCUAGUUAGUUCUAGUUGUAAUCUAGAAAAUAGGGAGAGAGAAAAGGAGAGCGGAGGAGGAGGAGCCGGAUCUGUCGGAUCUUCCUCAACAUUGUACUUUUGCAGCAACUGGUUCGUUCUUCAUCGUUGUCCAGGUUCUUCAAUUCAUAAUCCUGAGUUCUUUAAUUACUUUUAUUUACAUUCAAGUUAUUUAUUGGAUUCCCGCUUGCAUCAAGUGCUCUAAUCUUUGCAACAUUAGAGUAGUAAUUAAUAUAUUAGACGUGGUGUUUAGUCUUGCAAUUACCUAGAAUUGCACCCAAUCCUGUGGAUUGUUGUGGUAGCCUUAGGGUAGUGACAGCCCUAACGGUCGACGUAUUCCACCUCGUUCGGAUCGGUGUUUGUAGGACCGUAGUCAGAGCUUCCUAGCCCCCUUCCCAUCUCUUUCUGUGGUUAGUGUUCUGAUGUCCCGAAAUAGAUAAUCUUGAAGUAAUUCUUGAUUCUUAGAUCAACUAGAGAACUCUCAGGAAACUUCCUCUCUUCCCACCAAAAAUAAUUAUAUAGUUAUCCUUGGGCGAUCUUGGAUCUUAGUUAGUACACUCACGUUCUCUGUGGAAAAUCGAUACUCUGGAAUACUCCCGGGUGAAGGCUACAUCGGUAUCCGUGCGCUUGCGGAUUUUUCUGUUUGCGUUUAAAAUACCCAACAAUGACAUUAAAAAUAAAUACCAAUAGUAAAAUCUUAACCUUUGCUUUAGUAGGCUUACCCUUAUUUUGUCUUUGUCUGUAUUUCUAUAUAGGGUAAGUGCAGGAUUGCUUGUGAUCCAUCAACUUUCAUCAAUCAGAAUCAACCGCAUUGAGAAAAAAGCUUAACAUUAGUGAGUGAAGCCAUGGCUCAAAGCCUGUACGUGAAUUCUCUGCUCUCUAAGCACCGAGAACAUUCGCACUGGGCCAACACUCAACACCAACAACCUAGACUUUGAGAUCAAGCCAAGCCUCAUCGACAUCAUCCAAGCAACUAUAUUUAGUAGAAAGACACAUGAAUAUGCUAGUGCUCAUUUGUAGAAUUUUCUGGAGAUUUGUAGCACCAUCGUCAUCAAGAACAUUGCUCCAGACAUCAUACUACUUAGUUUGUUUCCAUUCUCAUUAGAAGGAAGAGCGAAGUAGUGGUUCUACACUAAUAAAGAUUAAAUCAACACAUGGGAAAGGUGUUGGAAGGCUUUCCUAGAAACGUUUUUCCCAAUAGGCAAGACCAAUGCCAUAAGAGGAAAUAUUACAAAUUUCCAUUAGCAAAAAGGUGAAUCUAUUCCAGAAGCUAGGGAGCAUUUUCAAGAAUAUAUCUCAAAUUGUCCCAAUCAUGGAAUGGAAGAAUGGUUGCUCAUGCAAAUAUUCUAUCAUGGAUUAAUUCAGAAAUCAUGUAAACAACUUAAUGCCACUACUAAAGGAUCAUUUAUGUUACUCCACUCCUAGAAAAGCUAAAAUCCUUAUGGAAAAGAUAGCCAUUAAUCAGAGUUGGACAUCAUACAAUACUCAAUCAUAAGAAGUCCCAGAAGAAGUUUGUGCAGUAUCAACCAAGAUGAAUGUAUUGCUAAAUUGACUCAAACAGUGUGAGUUCCAAAAGAGAUCGUCAAGCCACUCAAGAUGCAUUCAAUACUUAGAAUAAACAUGGAGAAUAUUUAGGAGUUGAAUUUGCUGAAUCCCUAGAAGACAUCAAUACUGUCAUCAACAACUCCACUUAACAACAAUAGAAGCAAGGAUGGACUAAACCACGGUCAACUAGUUACGGUAAGGGCCAAGGUAAUAAUAAUUCUUCCAAUUAUAAACAACCACCCUUGAGAGAAUUAAUCUUAGAACAAGCUAGAAUUAAUGAGAACAUUUAUAAAAAGCUUGCUCGUAAUGGUAAAAUUUUAGAAUGUAUAAAUGGUAAAAUGAAUAGUUUUUCUUCUAUUGUUAAAGACCAACAUAUAUUUAACAAAAAGAUAGAAUUAUGAUUAGCCUAGUUGGCUUCUACUCUGCCUUUUGCCACUAAUCUUGAGAAGCUCAAAGCUAUAACUACAAGAGCAAGCAAGUCUACUCGUGAUCCACCAUUCCCAAAGGGGACAGAAAGGACACUAGUGAUAGUGCAGGUAGAAGAAGAGAAGGAAGACAAUGAAGUUUUACCACAAGAUCAAUAAUUACUACAAGAUUUCCAUGACACCACUCUCCUACUGUUUCCAUGCAGAAAUAGAAAGGCCAAAAUGGAUUAACAAUUUGGUAAGGUUGUAGAGGUAAUUCAGAAAAUAUAUAUCAAUAUUCUAUUGCUAGAUGCCAUUCAGGUACCUACCUAUGCAAAGUAUCUAUGAGAUAUCCUCAAUAACAAAAUAUCACUACCAUCUACUGAAGUGAUCAAGCUAAUGGAGGAGUGUAUGUGGCCAUUCUGAACACUUUGCCUAUCAAGAAGAAGGAUCCACGAUGCUCCGCUAUUGACUGCUCGAUCAGAAAUUAGAAUUUUAAAAACACAUUAUGUGAUGUUGGCGUAAGCGUCACUGUCAUGCCCAAAAAGGUUUUUUGAUAGGCUCAACUACUCUACACUCAAACCAACUCCAAUGUGUCUACAACUACCUAACCGGUUAGUCCACUAUCCUGCAGGAAUUGCAAAGAAUAUUUUGGUAAAAAUCCAAAACUUUUUUAUUCCUAUAGAUAAAGUACUUGAAAUGUACGAAGACAUGAAGACACUAAUCAUCUUUGGGAGACCAUUCUUAAGUACAACAAAUGCACACAUUGAUGUUAGAGUCAGAAAUUAAUUCAUCAUUAAUGGACAAGAAGAGCGAAUCGUAUUCAAGCCAUGACCGGAGCAAUGCUCAAUUCUAGAGUGUCAUAAGAAGCAAGGUCACCAACUCCGUGACUGAAGAACAUACCAGAAGAAUAAAUCAACUGGAGAACUUUGGUUUAGCAGAUGUUGACAGUAGAUAAGUAUCAUUUUUAUAUCAACAAGAGAAUGGAAGAAGGGCAUAAAACAAAUACCAACAAUAGAAUAAGGUUUUAUCUAACAAAAUUCCACAGGUUUUGGUGAAUAUCAGGAAAUGACCAAGAGAUGCCCACAUGUCAUGAUUAGAUAAGAGAAACGAUAUAUUAAUACCAUAUACAAAUAAGAAGAGUCUAGAAGAGUCGAGAAGACCCCUAGCCAAGGUGUAACACCGAAAAUUUGUUUUCACUAAAUAGGAUUAAAUUCAAUUUAUUUAAGUAUUUUUGUGAGCAUUUAGUUUAGUAAAUAAGUAAUUUUCUUAGAAUUAAAAUUCAACAUAAGUUUAGGAACAUGUUUUUGCAUUUAUGUUGGAGCAUAUUUUAUUGUUGUGUGUUUUGUUUAAUUUUUAGUUGAAUUCAAAUCCUUUUGAAAAUGCUUUGGGAAAAGAAAUGAUAAAAAAGGAAGAAGAACUCACUCCAGCUCCUUCGACCAAGUGGCACAGUUAGCUCAGCGCCACCUCCUUUCAUCACACUUGGGCCAGAGGCCGCGGCCCAGUUAGCUCAGCGCCACUCCUUUUGGUGAGCAGAGCAGUAGUCAUAGCACUUGGUCAGUUACACUAUGUAUCUACAACCUUCCUCCAUGGUUAUGCAUGAAGCAAAAUUUCAUUAUGAUGCCGGUGCUCAUCCAAGACCUGAAGCAACCGGGCAAUGACAUUGAUGUCUAUCUAAGGCCAUUAAUUGAAGAACUCCUUUUAUGGAGUGAAACAGGUGUUCGUGUGUGGGAUGAGUACAAACAGGAACACUUCGACCUGCGAGCACUGUUGUUUGUGACAAUCAAUGAUUGGCCUGCUCUAAGUAAUCUUUCAGGGCAGACAAACAAGGGAUAUAAUGCAUGCACACACUAUUUUGAUGACCUUGAUAGUAUAUAUUUGAAAAAAUGCAGAAAGGUCAUGUACCUUGGGUAUCGUCGAUUUGUUUCUAUGAAUCACCCAGAUAGAAAGAAAGGAAAGCAUUUUAAAGGUAUGGCAGACCACCGAUGCAAGCCUUGCAACAGAACUGGAGAAGAUGUAUUUGAGAUGGUUAAGGAUGUGAAAGUAGUUUUUGGUAAGGGACAAGGCAGCCAACCAGUUCCAAAAGAUGCAGCGGGUCAUGCACCCAUGUGGAAGAAGAAGAAGUCAAUAUUUUGGGAGCUACCCUAUUGGCAAGUCCUAGAGGUCCGGAAUGCGAUCGACAUCAUGCACCUAACAAAGAAUCUUUGUGUGAACCUUCUAGGAUUCAUGGGUGUGUAUGGGAAGCAAAAGGAUUCACUUGAAGCACGACAAGACUUGGAACGCUUGGAAGAACGAGACAACCUGCAUCCAGAGAAGACAGAUGAUGGACGCCAAUAUUUAAGACCUACUAGCUACACUCUUAGCAAUGAAGAGAAAGAAAUCAUGUUUGAAUACUUAAGCAGCAUCAAGGUCCCAUCUGGAUUCUCCUCUAAUAUAAAAGGUAUAAUUAAUGUGCCUGAGAAGAAAUUUCUAAACAUAAAGUCGCAUGACUGCCAUGUGCUUAUGACGCAAUUGCUUCCAGUUGCAUUAAGAGGAAUUCUACCUCCACAUGUACGUCUGGCCACCGUAAAGCUAUGUGCAUUCCUCAAUGCAAUUUCUCAGAAGGCAAUCAAUCCACUAGAACUAGCUGCUCUACAGAAUGAUGUGGUUCAAUGUCUUGUCAGCUUUGAGUUAGUGUUCCCUCCAUCCUUCUUUGAUAUCAUAACACACCUCCUAGUUCAUCUGGUCAAGGAGAUCAAUAUUCUUGGUCCUGUGUUCCUACAUAAUAUGUUUCCCUUCGAGAGGUUUAUGGGAGUUCUAAAGAAAUAUGUUCACCAACGUGCUCGACCAGAAGGAAGCAUCGCAGAGGGCUAUGAGACAGAGGAGGUCAUUGAGUUCUGUGUUGAAUUCAUUCCUGAACUUGACCCAAUUGGUGUUCCUGAAUCGUGUCACGAGGGGAGACUGAGUGGAAAGGGAACACUAGGAAAGAAAACAUAUAUCGGUACGGGGGACGAUUCUUUCAAUAAAGCACACUACACAGUUCUUCAAAACUCAUCCGUGGUGGAGCCGUAUGUCAUGAAACACAAGGACUUCCUACGAUCCAAAUUCCCAGAGAAGAAUGAAGCUUGGUUUAUGUGUCAGCACAUGGACACUUUUAGUGAUUUGUUACGAAAAGAAUGUCAGGGUAAUGACUAGAUUGAUGAGCAACUGUAUUUGUUGGCUAGGCAACCAUCAUGACACAUCCUCACGUACAAAGGGUACGAGAUAAAUAGAAAUACAUUUUACACCCUAGGCCUAGAUAAAAGAAGCAUGAACCAAAAUAGUGGGGUUCACGUAGACGCCAUAGACCCAAAUAAAAACAGACAAACAUACUAUGGUCGUAUAGAGGAGAUCUGGGAACUAGACUAUGCACCUAAUUUUAAAGUCUCUUUGUUCCGAUGCCAAUGGAUGAAGGUUACCGGAGGCGGAGUGACAGUUGACAAAGACUAUGGAAUGACAACAGUGGACCUCAACAAUGUUGGUUACAAAGAUGAACCAUUCAUCCUUGCUGCUGAUGUGAAUCAGGUGUUCUAUGUGAAAGACAUGUCCACAAAAUAGAAGAGAGGGAAAAAUGACAACAAAUCAAGAAAUGAGCCAAAACGCCAUAUAGUUGUCUGAGGGAAAAGAAACAUUGUGGGAAUUGAGGACGAGUCAGAUAUUUCAGAAGAUUAUGAAAGGGAUGACCGAAUCACGCCUUUCAAUGUGACCAAAGAUCUGAGCAUACUGAUAAAUGUUGAGGACACUCCAUGGUUACAUCAAGCUCAUGACCAAGGAACAUACGUCAAAAAGAAGAUCACUAUUGUGCCCACCUAAUAAAUAGAUUGCAUUAGAGUAUGUGUAUGUGACAAUUGUAACUUAAGAUGUUUAUAUUAGUUUUUAUUAUUUAAUAUCAUUUCAAAUAAUGAAAUGACUUGUGGGAAAUGAAAUUUAAGUUUGCCAAUCCUAAGCACAUUUGUUCAAAAUCCAAGAUGGGUUUGGUCAAACUUGGUCAAAUGACAAACUAAAUUACUUAAAAUGAAAGAAAUUUGAAUACCAAGUUGUUAGAUAUCAUUAAGAUCUAAACUUUUUAUAUAGAUAAUUUUUCCAUUUGAGAAAGUUUAAGUUCACAAUACCCACCUGUGGGGGUAUAAACCCCUAUACCCUUACGGCUAGACUUCCGCCAGGAGGCUUGGCCCAUUACGAGACGAGUUCAAGGCUUGAUCCGACAACCUGGAGUUUCGCGCAAGGAAACAAGAUGUGGAGAUUAAGCAGGAUUCUAGUCGGUUAGAAUAGGAAUUGAUAUCGAAUUAUCCAUGGCAAUUGUAACCGACUAGGAUUAGUUUCCAGAUCUGUAACCCUGCCCUCCAGACUAUAUAAGGAGGGGCAAGGGACCCCCCUAGGAUACAUCAUAUUCUCUCAACACAAAUCAAUACAACCAGACGCAGGACGUAGGUAUUACGCCAACUCGGCGGCCGAACCUGGAUAAAAAGCUUGUCCGUGUCUUGCGUCACCAUCGAGUUCGUAGUUUGCGCACCGUCUACCGAUAAACUACUACCGUGGGUAUACCCCAAGGUAGACUGCCGACUAGCUUUCGUCGACAGUGGCGCGCCAGGUAGGGGGUGUGCGUGCAACUUUUCCGGCGAACAAGAUGGUCACGAUCCCAGCUUCCGCGACCGUGCCUGAAGGCCUCACUUUCACCGUUGGCCAGAUCACGUGGACGACGUGCAGCGGCGGCCUCACGACCACGGUUUCGAAAGAGACCCAGAUCCAAUCUGAGAUCACGCCGUCUCCGACCACACACAUGGCGGCACCGAGCGCCCGACCACCGCUCCCGCUCUACAAGGGAAAGAAGAUCGACAGCUCGGACCUUCUCCAAGCGCUCGAUCGCGCUGACUCCAAGCUACUCGAAGUUUCCCAACUAGUAGACGGAAUUCUGCGUCGGCCCGACCAAGCUGCUCCAGCGGAUUUUUUCAAAUCCCGCCGGCCAACUCGUGUCGCCACACACGAACGGCUGGGAACGUCUCUGACGAUAACCUCAACACCCUCAGGACGAUCCGUCGAGCUCAAGAAGGAAGAUUAUCCUUGCGGCCUGAACAACUCGGCCUCUGUUUACUCACAGCACACCCAAUCCGUUUUCAGCAAGGCGGGUUGGUUGCCGACAAGGAACGAUCGUCACUACGUCAACAUGGUGACAAUCCGAGAACUACGGGACGGCCAGGUUUCCAGCACCAACUCAAGCACCGGUUCCGUCCCCACCGAGGUUAUAAACACCGAAGACGAGGACUACGACCUGGAUUUCCCUUCACACCCUCCGGGUUUCGACCGAUUCCCGAUAUUCCCCCCCCCGGCGAGGGGAUAUUGUAUUCAAUGUCAGCGCCGACGAACCGGUCGUUGAUGGAGAAACAGAUGACCAGAGGCAACUCCACGAACAGCGUAACGCCGAUCGCGCCCGACGACGUGCGGACGAGCAACAACAAAUGCCACCAAAUAAUCUCAACGAUGCCUUUGACAUGGUCGGGGACCAGCCAGUCUACAAAACGCCAAGCGCCAACGUGGCUGUCGCCAUGGCUAACCUGGAUCGGCUUCCUGACACCCCCGAAUGCCAGGGAGUCCGGACCAGCAUCCGAGCACACCUGAUCGCCGCAAUGGGACAGACAGCCACUCUGCUCAAGAGAGUCCAGAACGUCUCUUAUACGGAAGCCACCUCCGACCAGACUAAUCGUAGCCGGGCCUCACCCAGCAGGCGUCACCGCAGCCGCUCCCCCGACAACCGUCGAGGGGACUCACGGCGCGACGAUGGUGGUCGGGACGCCGAUGGCCGCCGCAAGCAGAACCGCGUACGCGGCCAAGAAGAAGAUCAACACAGGGAUCUCCGCCACAACAUCCCUUUCAAAGAUGCCCGGGACCGCAUCAACAGGCGCGCCGCAGAGAGAGCAGUCCACAAAAACCUGCGCCGCAUCGAGUACGAUGCAACGCACGGUCCUCCGGGCCUAAGACAGUUCUCCUCACACCUCCGCCAGGUCGUGUGGCCCCGCAAUUUCAAGCUCGAAAAACUUAAAAAAUACGACGGCAAGGAAAAUCCAGAGAACUGGAUCACCCUCUAUGAAAUCGCCGUCCGAUCAGCGGCAGGGGAUGAGCACGUCAUGGCUAACUACUUCCCCGUAGUCCUCGACCAGGCUGGUCAUCAGUGGCUUCUCGGCUUGCCCGAGGACUCCUUCGACUCUUGGGAAGAGCUACGCCAGGCUUUCAUCGACAACUUCAUCGCCACAUGCGAGCAGCCUGGAAACAAGUAUGACCUUGAAAGGAUAAGGGACAGGAAGAACGAACCUCUGCGCGAUUACAUCCGACGAUUCUCGGAUAUGCGCCUCAAAAUCCCGAAGAUUUCUCAUGACGAGGCCAUCUCAGCCUUCAUCAAGGGCCUGCGUUUCCACGAAGCGCUGAGGAACAAGCUGUUGCGUAAGCGUCCAACAACGGUAGCAGAGCUCCUCGCCACGGCCAAAAAUUACGCCGAUGCCGAUGACGCAGAAAAACUAAUCCGAGACGAUGCGAGAGGUCCCGACCAGCCUCCCCGGCGAGAUGAUGGUCGUGGUCGCUACGACAGCAGAAAUCACCGCCGCUCCGACAACCGCGAUCACCGAGAGGGUUGGGAUCGGUGGCGCGACAGCCGCGACGACUUCAGAGGAAAGCGCCCUCGCGACUACGACCACGAAGUAAAUACGGUCAAAUGACCCAAUGGACGACGGGACUACCAAGAAGACUACAACAAAACGUUGAAGGGACCAUGCCAACUACACCCAAAGUCCAAUCAUACCAUGGAAGAGUGCCGCGUCCUAAAAAGUAUCUAUACACGGCGGGCCGCCCAAGACGACUCCGCCAAGAAAAAUAACAAGCGCGACGGGCACGACCACGAAGAUGAGGAUGAGGACCAAGAUAGGGACCCCCGACACCAAUACGUCAGCCCCACUGACGUGGUCCACUCCAUUUUCGGGGGCAAGGUCUCCACUGAGUCCAAGCGAGAAAGAAAGCUGUUAAAGAGAGCCUGCCUCAACAUAGACAGCACGGACGGGCUGAUCGCAGACCCGAAAUUUCCCACGUGGUCCCACAGGGAGAUCUCGUUCAGCAGGAAGGACCAGUGGGCCGCUAUCCCAGAGCCGGGUCGUUUCCCCCUGAUUCUUGACCCCUGCAUCAACAGCAUCAGAUUCGAGCGCGUGCUCGUGGACGGGGGAAGCUCCAUCGACAUCCUCUUCCGCAACAGCCUGCCCGCCCUCAAAAUGUCCCCGGCACAACUAAAACCUUACGACGCCCAAUUCUGGGGGGUUUUGCCAGGUCAAAGUUCCGUGCCUCUCGGACAGAUAACAUUGCCUGUCCAAUUCGGCACACCCGACCACUUCCGGACGGAGUUCAUCAACUUCGUAGUCGCGGAUUUCGACGGGACCUAUCACGCCAUACUGGGCCGCCCAUCGCUGACAAAGUUCAUGGCAGUCCCGCACUACUCAUACCUAGUCCUUAAGAUGCCCACGGAGAAGGGUGUCCUAACCGUCAGAGGCAACGUCUACACUGCGUACACCUGCGAAGAAGAAAGCUUCAAGAUCACCGAGGCAAUUGACCUCUCAAUCCGCAUGGCGGAAACAGCAAACCAAGCCGCACAGCUGCCUCCCGACCAGCUCCGAUUACCCGAACAGGCGACAGCCAGGAAGAACUCAAAAUCCAAGGAGUACAAAGAAGUGCAGCUGGUCGAAGGCAACCCCGAGAAGACAGCCCUCAUCGGGGCCAACCUGGAUCCAAAAUAGGAAGACGCGCUCGUCAGGUUUCUAAGGGACAACGUGAGCGUUUUCGCAUGGAAACCCGCAGACAUGCCCGGUGUCCCACGAAACCUGAUCGAGCACUCCUUAAAUGUCUCGAAGACCGCAAGACCAAUCAAGCAAAAACUGCGACGGUUCGCUCGUGACAAAAAGGAGGCUAUUAGGACAGAAAUAACACGGCUUCUAGCAGCCGGAUUCAUAAAAGAAGUGUAUCACCCCGAUUGGCUCGCCAAUCCGGUUCUUGUACGCAAAAAGAAUAAUGAAUGGAGAAUGUGCGUUGAUUACACUGAUCUCAACAAACACUGUCCUAAAGAUCCUUUUGGUCUCCCUCGCAUCGACGAGGUGGUCGACUCAACGGCCGGAUGCGAACUCCUCUCCUUUCUAGACUGCUACUCUGGUUAUCACCAGAUCUCGCUAAAGGAAGAAGAUCAGAUCAAAACAUCCUUUAUCACACCCUUCGGCGCAUACUGCUACACGACCAUGUCUUUCGGACUCAAAAACGCCGGAGCCACUUAUCAAAGGGCCAUCCAGCAAUGCCUUUUACGACGAGAUUCGUGAUGACCUCGUCGAGGCCUAUGUGGACGACGUGGUCCUUACAGGAUGUAUGGUCGCCCUCAGUCGCUUCAUCUCAAGGCUAGGAGAAAAAGGCCUCCCUUUCUUUAAACUGUUAAAAGCGUCGGAAAAAUUUUCUUGGACAGAAGAAGCCGACACUGCAUUCAACCAGCUUAAGACCUUCCUCACUUCACCACCUGUCCUUACAGCGCCUCAGCCCAAUGAAGACCUACUCCUUUACAUUGCUGCAACCGACAGGGUUGUCUCCACGGCAAUAGUGGUCGAGCGAGGUGAACCAGGUCACGCCUACAAGGUCCAGAGACCAGUUUACUUCAUAAGUGAAGUCUUAAACGAGUCCAAGGCCAGGUAUCCACAAAUACAGAAGCUCAUAUACGCCAUUCUAAUAACGUCAAGAAAGCUGAAGCACUACUUCGACGGCCAUCGAGUCCUGGUGACAACCAGUUUCCCUCUCGGGGACAUCCUGCGCAAUAAAGACGCCAAUGACAGAAUCGUGAAAUGGGCAAUGGAAUUAUGUCCAUUUUCCCUGGAGUUCCAGAGUCGCACCACUGUCAAGUCUCAGGCCCUGGUCGAUUUCAUUGCUGAAUGGACGGAUCUCAACGAGCUUUCCGUUCCCGAUGUCUCAGACCACUGGUCAAUGUUCUUUGACGGGUCCUUGAACAUCAACGGUGCCGGCGCUGGGAUACUGUUCGUAUCACCCAACAAGGACAAACUGCGUUACGUCCUUCGGAUCCUUUUUCCGGCGUCAAACAACGUCGCUGAAUACGAAGCAUGCUUGCAUGGCAUAAGACUAGCCGUCGAGCUGGGAGUCAAGCGCCUCUAUGUUUAUGGCGACUCCGCUUUGGUCAUCAACCAGCUCAACAAGGAGUGGGACGCAACCCACGAGAAGAUGGAUCUCUACUGCAAAGAAAUUCGCAAAUGGGAAACCAACUUCUACGGCAUAGAGUACAUCCACGUGGUCCGGGAUAAGAACCAAGCAGCAGAUGCGUUGUCGAAGUUAGGCUCAUCUCGGGCCCAGAUCCCGCGGGGUAUUUUCGUCCAGGACAUCCACGAGCCGAGCGUAGGCUCCUCCCUGGUCGACAAGCAGCCCACCGAGGCAAUGCUCAUAGACGACGCCACUCCGACAACCGAUGGGCAUGACUGGCGUACCCCGUUCAUCAAAUACAUAUCGGACGGGACAGGCCUUCAGGACAAAACAGAGAACGAGCGCCUCAUUCGACGAUCAAAGAACUACAUCCUGGUCGACGACAAACUCAUGCGGAAAAACGCAAGCUCCGAAGUACUGCUCAAGUGCAUACCCCAAGAUGAUGGUAUCAAGCUCUUAGAGGACAUACAUGCUGGAUCCUGCGGCAAUCACGCCGCAUCCAGAACGCUGGUCGGAAAGGCUUUCCGAGCAGGUUUUUAUUGGCCAACCGCGGUCGGUGACGCAGAAAAACUGGUUCGACAUUGUGAAGGAUGCCAGUUUUUCGCUAAGAGGACCCACGUACCUGCCCACGAAAUUCAAACCAUCCCGUCGUCUUGGCCCUUUGCUUGCUGGGGGCUUGACAUGAUCGGGCCAUUUAAACCAGCCCCGGGCAAUUUCAAGUUUGUUUUCGUGUUAAUCGACAACUUCUCCAAGUGGAUUGAAUACAUGCCUCUGGUCAAGGCAACCUCCGAGAAGGCUGUGGAGUUCCUCAAUCAAAUCAUACACAGAUUCGGCAUCCCGAACAGCAUAAUCACCGACCUGGGCACUCAGUUUACUGGCACCACUUUUUGGGACUUCUGCGAUGACAGAGGCAUAGUCAUAAAAUACGUGUCAGUGGCACAUCCACGUGCCAACGGUCAAGUGGAACGUGCUAACGGAAUGAUCGUUGACGCCCUAAAGAAAAGGUUGUACACCGAAAACUAUAUGUGUCAAUUGUGGAUUUUCAACUACACCUUCCCAACACUUUGUCAAAUGAAAAAAUGGUCUAUAUAUUAAAUGUUAGAUUUUGAUGAGUGGAACAAUAUUGGUAUUAAUGACUUUUCCAUUCGAGACCAUCUAGGGUUCCGAAAACCGAUGCGUGGCUAUGAAUUCUUUCAAAAUUCAAAAUUGAGUGGUUCAAACUUUUCCAAAAGAAAAGUUGACCAUUAGACUGAAUGUAGAACUUGAUGAGUGUAACAAACUUUGUAUUCAUGACUUUUCCAUUUGGGACCAUCUAGGGUUCGGUCAAAGUGUGUGUUUCUAAAAACCAAUGCUUUGACUUUGGUCAAACUUGGUCAAAUGACCCAUUUGAUGACUUGAAAUGAAAAAACUUUGAAUACAAAGUUGUUAGAGAUCAUCAAGAUCUACAUUUGAUAUAUUGUCCAUUUUUCCAUUUGGAUAAAUUUGAGCCAAUCCGAAGCACAUUUGUUCAAAAUCCAAGACGGGUUUGGUCAAAUGACAAACUAAAUUACUUGAAAUGAAAAAAAUUUGAAUACCAAGUUGUUAGAUAUCAUCAAGAUCUAAACUUUGUAUAUAGACAAUUUUUCUAUUUGAGAAAGUUUAAGUUUACAAUACCGACCAAAUCUUGAACUCACACAAACUAUAUGUAACUAUAUGUGUCAACUUUGGAUUUUCAACUACACCUUCCCAACACUUUGUCAAAUGCAAAAAUGGUCUAUAUAUUAAAUGUAGAUUUUGAUGAGUGGAACAAUAUUGGUCUUAAUGACUUUUCCAUUGAGACCUUCUAGGGUUCCGAAAACCGAUGCGUGGCUAUGAAUUCUUUCAAAAUUUAAAAUUGAGUGGUUCAAACUUUUCCAAAAGAAAAGUUGAUCAUUAGACCAAAUGUAGAACUUGAUGAGUGUCAAAAAACAUUGUAUUCAUGACUUUUCCAUUUGGAACCAUCUAGGGUUCGGACAAAGUGUGUGCUUCUAAAAACCAAUGCUUUGACUUUGGUCAAACUUGGUCAAAUGACCCAUUUGAUGACUUGAAAUGAAAAAAAUUUGAAUACAAAGUUGUUAGAGAUCAUCAAGAUCUAUAUUUGAUAUAUUGUCCAUUUGGAUAAAUUUGAGCCAAUCCUAAGCACAUUUGUUUAAAAUCCAAGACGGAUUUUGGUCAAACUUGAUUAAAUGACAAACUAAAUUACUUAAAAUGAAAAAAAAUUGAAUACCAAGUUGUUAGAUAUCAUCAAGAUCUAAACAUUUUAUAUAGACAAUUUUUCCAUUUGAGAAAGUUUAAGUUUACAAUACUCACCAAAUCUUGAAUCUCACACAAACUAUAUGAAACUAUAUGUGUCAAUUGUGGAUUUUCAACUACACCUUCCUAACACUUUGUCAAAUGCAAAAAUGGUCUAUAUAUUAAAUGUAGAUUUUGAUGAGUGGAACAAUAUUGGUAUUCAUGACUUUUUCAUUCGAGACCAUCUAGGGUUCCGAAAACCAAUGCGUGGCUAUGAAUUAUUUGAAAAUUCAAAAUUGAGUGGUUCAAACUUUUCCAAAAGAAAAGUUGACCAUUAGACCAAAUGUAGAACUUGAUGUGUGUAAUAAACUUUGUAUUCAUGACUUUUCCAUUUGGGACCAUCUAGGGUUCGAUCAUUGUGUGUGUUUCUGAAAACCAAUGCUUUGACUGUUUUGACUGUGGUCAAACUUGGUCAAAUGACCCAUUUGAUAACUUGAAAUGAAAAACAAUUGACUACAAAGUCAUCAAAUGGGACUAAAGAUAUAUAUUCACCAUUACAUCGGAUUAAAGACAUUUGAUAUAUUGAAAAAGUUGUUCAAUUUUUGUUUGGUCAAAAUUACAUCGGAUUAAAGACAUUUUGUUUGGUCAAAAUUGACUAAAAACAAAUUGACUACAAAGUUGUUAGAGAUCAUCGAGAUCUACAUUUGAUAUAUUGUCCAUUUUUCAAUUUGGAUAAAUUUGAGCCAAUCCUAAGCACAAUUGUUCAAAAUUGAGUGGUUCAAAAUUUUAUGUUCCCAAAUUUAUUAUACAAGCAAUUAGACAAAAACAAAUGGAACUAUUAUUUUUUAACAAAUUAAUACAAAUUCUUUUAUUUACUAUGCAAUUAACAAAAUUAACCUAAUUAUUGUAAGCAUAAAUAAAUAAUAAAUAGAAAAGAAAUCUUUAAAAAAUAAUCUGAUGUAAUGGUGAAUAUCACGUAUAUCACGAUUUUGGAGAUAAAUGAUGAUAAAUGAACAAAAUUUAUGUUUAAAUAAUGCACAAACAAAUUUUCUACCAAAAAUAGCUACUUUAAGAUAUUAAAAUUAAAUAAUACAUUUUUGCAUUAACAAUUACUAAUUAUUUUCAUAUUUAAGUUUGCUAUUAUAAGAGAUGGAAAGAUUUUAUAUUUCCAAAUUUAUUAUGUAAUUAAUUAGACAAAAAGAAAUAGAACUAUUAUUUUUUAACAAAUUAAUACCUAUUAUUCUAUUUACUAUGCAAUUAACAAAAUUAAUCUACUUAUUGUAAGCAUAAAUAAAUAAGAAACGACAAAAAUAUUUUUAGUCCCACUUCCUGGAUGGAACCGGGAAUAAAGGUUGCCUUUAGUCCUGAUUCCUGGUUGGAACCGGGACUAAAGGUUGGACCUUUAGUCACGGUGCGUAUCACCAACCGGGACUAAAGAUCUUUUAGUCCAAGUUGGUGACACGCACCGGGACUAAAAGUCCCCGCGGGUAUUUAACCGAACAGUUGUCUUCCUCCUCGAUCUAGUUCGACGUUGCCCUAGUUUCUUCCUCCGCCGCGCGCCGCUCCCCACCGUCGCCUCACGCCCUCGUCCCAGGCCGAGCGCCGUCGUCUCGAGCCCGGCUAGGAGCGCCGCCGCCGCCGCCGCAGCCACCCCUCGUCCUCGGGCCGAGCCGAGGAGCGCCGCCACCGUACUACCGGCCCCGCUUUCUUCUCCGGCGCCCGCUGCGAGCUUCUUCGAUCUCCGGCACCGCGUGAGCUUCUUCUCCGGCGCGGCUACGCGAGCUUCUUCUCCGGUGCCGCUGCAAGCUUCUUCUCUCGGCCGCUGCUGCGAGCUUUUUGAUCUCGGCCACCAUCAUACUGCGCAGUAUAAUUCUUGGUCGGCACUUGUGAUGAUUUUUUUAGAAACUGUGUUGAGCGCUCUGUUGUAUAUAUAUUGAGAUGAGAUGAUAUAAUUUAUAUUUUAUAAUUUAUCCUUUGUAUGAUAUAAUUUAUAUGAUAUAAUUUAUCCUGUGGAAAACUUGAAAUUUGUAAUUUAUUUUUACAGUAUGUUGCUAAGGCCUUAGUUGUAAUUAGUUAUUGUUAUUUAUCCUGUGUAGAAGCUUAAUUAGUCUAUGUUAGCCAUAAUUACAGUGUAAUUUAUAUGAUAUAUUUGUCAAAUAAAAACAAAAGUGUUACAGUACCAAAAACCAAAAAAAAAUUCAAAACUAAACAAGUCCUUAGUUGUUGUAUCGAAUAUAAUAUGGAAUAUCAAAAGAGCAGUUUGGAUAUUAAUUAAAAAAUUAAUUACAUAAUUUCUCUAAAAAUGUGAGACAAAUUUAUUAUAUCUAACUAAUUAAGCUUAAAAAAGAUUUGUCUCGCGGUGUCCCUAUGAACUGUGUAAUUAGUUAUUUUUUUCUCUAGUGUCCCUAUGAACUGUGUAAUUAGUUAUUUUUUUCUCUAUAUUUAAUACUCUUAGCUAAUUUUAUCUAAUUUUUAGCUAAGGCAUGUAUACAUAUAUAUGGAAGUGUUUCGUUUAUCAUAUUUGUCUCGCAAAUUUGUCUCGCAAAUUAAUUACAUGCUGUAAACAUAUAAAUGAAGGGCCUUGUUUUCUUGCAAAAGAUUUAUCUCACAAAUUUGUCUCGCAAAUUAAUUACAUGUUGUAAACAUAUAUAUGGAGGGCCUUGUUUACUUGCAAAAAAUUUGUCUCGCAAAUUAAUUACAUCCUGCAGUGGCGUUUUUAUUUAUCCACACGUUUUUAUCUAUCUAUGCAAGAGUUAAUGGACAAAAAAUGGAAGUGCUUUCGUUUUUUAGAUAUUUAUAAAAAAGUUACACAUCCAGAUUUACUUAUUGAUAAAUAUUUAUAUUUAUUAAAAUAUUCAUUAGAUAAUGUGUAGACAAAUAUUUUACAAUAAAAUCCUCUUAAAACUACUCAAAAGCUAUAUUUAUCUUUAUGAUAAAAUCCCAAAAUGUGGGGACAAAUAUUGUAUCCAAAUAUUAUCUAAGUUUAGCCUAUCCAAAUAAUUUAUGUUGAUCGCGUCAAAUACUUUUGCGUUGGAUAUAUUAAGUACGAGAUUUGACAAAUAACUUUUAACACUUAAUUAAAUUUGCAGAAACGGCCAAUCCGAAUGACAACAUGGAUGGUGCAAUGAUGGACCUAAUCAACAGCGGCGCUAAUCCAGAUCCCCAAGGCGAAGAUGAUGGGAGUCAGUACUUUGCUGAUUAUGAAGAACUUGUGCGAGACAAUCCUGAUGAUGUUUAUCUACAAUCUAGUAUAUAUAUAUGAAAUUAAAAUAAAUGACAUUUAUACUAAUAUAUUUAUACUUGUUUGUGUAGCCCUCUAGAUCGGCGACAACUUGUGAGAAGAGUAGAAAAGUGUGCGGCCCGAAGAAGCUGUUGGAGGGUCGGUACAUUAUGUCGGAAUUCGAUGAGGGUACAAGACAAGUACUAUGUGGCAGACACCGGGCAACAAUUUGUGUGGCUACUAUAUGUGCGAGUUUAUGACGGUCAAUGCCAAAAGAACUAACCUUGACCACCUAAAAGUACGUAACAUGUAUAUGUAAUAAGUUUAUUUCAUUUAUUUGUUGCUAUUUAAUAAAUCCUAUUCAUACAUCUAACUUUUUUCUUUAAUAUCUAUUAAAGGAGAUGUGGUUAAAGGAGCAGGUGUUGGAGGCGGUCCGCCUAAAAGGAAUUCAAUCGCAGAAUUUCUUAACGUCCUGAGUCCCGACGGCGAGUGCUACUUCAACCCUGAGGAGCCGAUGAAACCAAAUCACGAUGAUCAUUUGUACGAUGCUUGAGUGACGAAGAUAAAUUGUGUUGUAAAUACUUUGUCCGUGAUGCAUAUGUGUAAAUAUCAUAUUAUGGACCUAUAGAUACAUAUAAUAUAUAUAGUGUUUUAUAGUAUAUUUAUAUAUAAUGCUUUAAAUUAUAUAAAUUAUAGGUGCGCGUUGCAUAAACUACCAGUAAACAAUAUGCAUUCGAAAAAAAUAAUAACAUAAUUAGAAACCCUAAAUGGAAAACCAAAAGAAAAGAAAAGAAAAAAAAAGAAAGAAGUCUUUAGUCCCGGUUGCUAGCAACAACCGGAACUAAAAGUGGAGGCCAGGUGGCACACCCUGACGCACCUUUUAGUCCCGGUUGCUGUUACCAACCAGAACUAAAGGUGGACCUUUAGUCCCGGUCCGCAGAACCGGUACUAAAGGCGGGAUAUUUAGUCCCGAAACCUUAGCCCCGGUUCCGUAGCCGGGACGGCCCGGGGCUAAAGCCCUUUCCUGCCCCACGUGUCAUACGCAUUUCAUAUUUGCCAAUUUUGCCAUCGAUUCAUGCAUACAAGUAAUUUGUCCAUGUACAUCUGCAAUAGGUAAGUUGUACACUAAAUAUGCAUCAUUUCAUAUGAUUUUAGCUUGGUGGUGGGUGAAAUAUUGACGGUUAAACAGGGUGUUGGUGACCGUCAACAAUUGCCAAGACUCGAGUGCGCAGACGUGGCCGAGCGGUGAGAGUUCGGUAGAUCCCUAGCCACGCUGCAGAAGGGGAAUGAGAAGGGAGGGAGCAGCGGAACCCUAGCCACGUCUCUUAUAGUUAGCUGCUUCUGGGCUGCCAAACGACUAGGCGAUAAGCCCAGCCACAUCCAGCCCAGCAAGCCUUCCCAUCUCCCUUGUCUCUCUCGCUCUCUGUCUAUUGAACAGCCCGCGCUAGCAGUCAUGACGGUGGCCCAGAGGGACUCAUGGCAGUUUGACGGAUCGCCAAGCGUUGCCAAAGCAGAGGCAGAGCACAGCAAUCACGGUCACUACAGGGUCCGUCUAGGAGCACUACGAGCAGCGGAGUGGAGCUAGAUAGCGCGGAUCCAAACAUGCAACGGCGAUGGGAGCGUGGCGAAAUGCCACAACGCACGGACCUACUCCCUCCAUCCCAAAUUAUAAGUCAUUCCAAGGAUUUUGGAGAGUCAAAACAUUUUCACGUUUAACCAAAAUUAUAGAGUGAAAUACUAAGAUUUGUAAUGUAAAGUGAGUAUACUAUGAAAAUAUAAUUAAAGAAGAAUCUAAUGAUAUUUAGUUUGUAUCAUAAUAGUUAUUAUUUUAUCAUAUAAAUUUAAUUAAACUUUUAAAAGUUUAACUCUUCAAGAUUCUUGGAAUAACUUACAUAGGACGGAGGGAGUAGCUCGCAGGGCCGCGGCAACGACAUAGCGUUAUGCCACAACAUACAGCUGGCGAUCGAGGCAUGCAGCAAUCUGCCUAGCGCGAUCCGUGUUGUGUGGUGGUGCAGAGUUGGGUUGAUGUGUUGCACGAGGCUGCGCGGUAUAGCAUCAGCGAGCUUGCUUGGUGUGGUGGCUCGGCGGCCGUGUGCUGGCCAUCGAUCCGUGACAGCGUGGCCGCCGGUGAGCUUUUUCAUAAUACUCAAAAAUAAUUUUCAAGGCUGGUCCUGAAGACCAUCUGACUCUACACUGACGAGUUUUGAGGAAUUUGCACAACGCAACCGUUUUUGCAAACGGAUUUUUAGUCCCGGCCGGUGGACUUUUUUAGAAAUGCUGUUUUAAGUCGGCGAUCUGGCUGUCUGUAGAAAUGAACUAUUUUUACAAUCGAUAGGAUAGUGUUGGCUUUCUAAAAGUGGAUUUUGACCAUGCCUAAAAAUCAUUUCUGCAGUAGUGUAUAUUGGGCCCAUAUUAGCUUGAGAUUGUGGCCUGCUUGGCUCCAUGCAUUACUUUUAACUAAUUAGCGAGUUAUUUCUUGAUUAUGUGGAUCACCUUAUGUAAAUUCGGGUACAUGUGUAUUUUCUAUUGAACACUAGUCUGUCCUAAAAAUCCUACAGGAUCAAGUAUUUCCGAAUGGAGAUUCUAAUUUGGAAGGUAAUGUACUAGGUCGUUGUGUGUGCAUCAGUAAUGCAUGUAAAUGUCUGAAUUAACUUCCAUUGUCUUCAUAUUUGUUCAAAUUCUAUAUCUUCUUGUCAAACUUGCUGAGCAGGGGUCAACACUGAAGACCUUACUUGUACUCAAUCCAUCCCAAAUUGUAAGUCGUUUGACUUUUUUAAUAUCAAGUUUGACCACUCGUCUUAUUUAAAGUUUUGUACAAAAUAUCACUUUUUUUUGUUGUGUAUUGGUUUAUUAAUAAAAGUUCUUCAAGAAUGACUUAAAUUUGACUAUAUUUGCACAAAUUUUUUGAAUAAGACGAGUAGUCAAACUUGAGGUAAAAAAAGUUAAACGACUUACAAUUUGGGAUGGAGGCAGUAACUAAUAAUUGGCAGUCGCCACAAUAGUUAUAUAUUGGUUCUAUAAAGUUCUAUUCGUUCCGACCUGUGUGUCUGUAAGAUUGUUGCUAAGGAAAAUAAAUGUUUCAUUAUUUGUACAGCUAUCUGUAUUAGCAGCAAGGCGUGCCUUGGUUUAGGUUUUAAUGUCAUGAUUAGAGAUGGUUUUGUUUGCAGAUAAAACAACAUCUAGCUAGGACAGCCAUGUACUUAAUCCAGAUUAUCAUCACAUUAUGACCCUAUUCAUUUCAGCACAUUGAUCUUCCACACAACCUUCUCAGGUAGAUCUUCGGGCAUGCAAAAGAAGCAAACCACACUAAUAAACCUUUUAACUUCUAUAUAUAAAUAAUAAUAAUUAAAAAGGAAUAAAGUACAUCAUAGAAUGCAUAUUAAAAACAAGGCUCACUGGAAUCUUACAUGUAUAUAUAUGACACUAUCGCAAUACACAAAAUAAGUAUACACACCCAAAUGAAGCUGUACUUUAUUCUGUAGAAACAAAAAAAACAAAACAGGACUGCAAACCACGCUAGCUAGACCACACAUGCAACUCAUAGCUAGCAACGUUGAUCAUUGACCAAUGUUCUCGAUUCAACCGAUCAGUUUUUGGCCGGAGGAUGGUAGAUGGGAGUUGGUGAUGCGUACGUUGGCGCUGGGGGGUGGUACUCAGGCUCAGGCUUUGGUUUGGGCUCAGGCUUAGGCUUCGGUGGCACAGGUUUCUUGUGGAAGUGGUCAAAGAACUUGUGAUAGUCAUGGUCCUUGUGGAAGUGAUCAAGGAAGUGCUUCUUGUCAAACGAUAUUUCUUUCACAACCGGAGGGUGGUAGAUCGGAGUCGGAGACCCGUAUGUGGGUGUCGGGGGGUGGUACUCAGGCUUAGGCUGCGGCUUUGGCUUUGGUGGCACGGGCUUCUUGUGGAAGUGGUCAAAGAUGUGGUGGUAGUCAUGGUGUUUGUGGAAGUCAUCGUGCAAGGGAUUCUUGUCGAACAAGUGCCUGGCAGGAGGGUGGUAGAUUGGUGUAGGUGACCCAUAUGUUGGCGUUGGUGGGUGGUACUCAGGCUCAGGUUGAGGUUUGGGCUCUGGCUUGGGCUUGGGUGGCACAGGCUUCUUGUGGAAGUGGUAAAAAAAGUGGUGGUAGUCAUGGCCUUUAUGAAAGUGAUCAGGCUCAGGCUGCGGCUUAGGCUGCGGCUUGGGCUCCGGCUUUGGCUUUGGUGGCACGGGCUUCUUGUGGAAGUGGUCGAAGAAGUGGUGGUAGUCGUGGUCCUUAUGAAAAUGGUCGAGCAAGGGCUUCUUGUCAAACAAAUGUCUAGCUGGAGGGUGGUAGAUCGGUGUGGGUGACCCGUAUGUUGGAGUCGGAGGGUGGUAUUCUGGCUGUGGCUUGGGCUCUGGCUUCGGCUUUGGUGGAACUGGCUUCUUGUGGAAGUGGUCAAAGAAGUGGUGUGGCUUAGGUUCUGGUUCUGGUUUGGGUUCUGGCUUCGGCUUCAGCGGAGAUGGCUUCUUGUGGAAGUGGUCCAAGAAGUGGUGAUAGUCGUGGUCCUUGUGGAAGUGAUCAACCAUGUGCUUCUUGUCGAACAACUGCCUUGCUGGAGGAUGGUAGAUUGGAGUUGGGGAUCGAUAUGUUGGCGUAGGGGAGUGGUACUUCGGCUGCGGCUUAGGUUCUGGCUUUGGCUUUGGCUCUGGCUUCGGCUUCGGUGGCACAGGCUUCUUGUGGAAAUGGUCCAACAGGUGCUUCUUGAUCGGCCCGCAUAGGGUUGCCGACGCGCAUUCUGCCGACGGGUAGUCUGUCUUGCCAGGGACCACGACGAAGUUGCCAUCGGACGACUGCGGCACAAUCCUGGAAGGUUCCUGACCGGGGCACGGGGUGCCCGCGGCGCUGUGGAGCUGCGCAACGCAGUCAGCGGCGUGCAUGUCCGUGCUCAGCGGGAUGCUGAAGGCGCCGGAGACAUCUAGCUUGCCUAUGGCCUUGCUCUCGUACUCGCCUUUGCUGUUCCUGCACUUGAUCGCCACCUCAAGACCUGAAAUGCAUGGAUCGAAAAGCACCGUCAGUACCAGCAGCUAGCUUCUUCUGACCUUACUGAUCAGCUUAAAGCAUUGAGUAUCCACUGUUUAUGUUAUUAGCUUAAUUAAAUAUGCAUGUAUAUUAUUCCUAGUAUAUUUACCCUUGAAUGCCGCUUCGGCCUUCAUGUUCUUCCUGGUGCAAUCGGCGCAUUUGGCGAGGCCGAUAACCACCGAGGACGCCUCACUGGAGGCAGCGCUUGCGACGGCUAUUACCAUCAGCACGGCGAAAAUGCCGGGGAGAAGGCCCCCAUGUACCGCAGCCAUGGCUAGAUGGAUGACUCGAUGAGAUGAAGAAGAGGCAAUGCAAUGCCUGCCUUAUAUAGGCCUACGCAUUGAUCAAACACAGCUCGAUCUUACAUGCAUGCACGCAUGAUCACGAGCUGGUGAGGACUGAGGCGCCAGCACACAUAAUUUUGGCGCCGAAAUUGCAGACCGGCCGGGAAUUAAUGCCGUCCAUUUGAGUUGAUCAAUCUCUGUCUGUCCAUUCAUCAUGUCCAGUCGGUUGGUAGUAGUUGGAGUUGUGUAAGUUACGUCAGUUGCGGCACUUUGGAUUUGCAUGCAUGCAGCGCCAGUACAUGCCCUGUGUAAUGCAGGUUUCCAUUGGUCACAUCGGAAAAGCAAAGCUUGUAAAAGCGCGUGUCCGGUGUGCUCAUCUGCUGGACAAUAAAUUUCAGAACAGUAUAGUAUAGUUUGGUUUGUUUCAGAAAAGGGACAGUACUUUCGGAAUGUGGAUACAAAAUAAGUUCUUUCUGACCGCGUGUAGUUGGAUACAACAUAUAGUAGCACAAAAAAGCUCUAUGAUGACGGUAGUGUCUAAUUUAUAGACGCGGCGAGCCCAAUUCAAGAACCGCCACUGUAAACCCAUUUACACUGACAGUUCACUUAAGGAAACUGUCAGUGUCAAUAGUGCAUUUCCACUAGCGGUUUCCUUAAGUGCUGUGCAAAUAGAUUUACACCAGUGGUACCUUAUGUCAGCCGCCAGUGAAGUUUUUGGUAUAAAUACUCAUUCUUCCUCCACGAGUAGAACUGUUUCUCACAACCACCUUCUAUUAGAGGCCAUUUUGGAGGUCUAGAUUUUUAGGAGGUUGCUAAGAAAUGUUAGUUUAUAUCUCUCUUGCCUCUUUUUGUUCAUUCUUGCUCAAUUUGAACCACUUUAUGGAUCUAGGAUUUCACCAUAUGUUAGAGAGAAGAAUAGCUAGGUUAUUAUCUUUAUUUGCUCAAAUGAUCUUAAGAUUGUUAGAUGAUGUCUCUCCUCUAUCCCUUUUUAUUUUUGCUUCUCACUUUAGUUUAUCCAAGAUAUAUUUAGUUAUUUUCAUGAAUUGUGUGUUCUUGUCUAUUUAUGUAGAUAGAGAAAUAUAGGUUCUUUUGUUAGUUUUAUAAAUUGUGUAGUUUUUUGUCUUCAUUUCUCAAUUUGAUUUAAUUAUCCACUAUGUAUUUAUGUUUCAUGAAUGGUGUGUUUGUAUGUAGAGGGGAAGAUAGGUUUCUUAAUUAAUUAAGAUUAUUGUGUUUAUUAAUUAGAAAAUAUGAAAGAGGUUUCUUUGUUUACCACUAUGUUGUUGACUGAGGUUACUUAGUACGGUUAAUUUUAUUCUUCUAACUUUUAGCGAACCUUGCUUCAAGGUCUAUAAAUUGGAAAAUAUACAAGUGGGAGGUUUUCAUCUUCAUUUCUUCGAAAGAGGUUGGUGAUCAAAAGAUUAGAUAAUAAAUAUCUCUAGACAAUCAUACUUGUUUUGCAUUGAUUAUAAUUAAUUCAUUAUAUUUUUUAUAUGUAAUGAUGGAGAGGUCAUUUUGGAUGUAUAAUUUAUCAAGACUAAAUCCAUCAUAUAUACCCGAGGUCCCUAGGUUUUUUGAUGCUGACUAAGAACCAUGCUUGGAGAACAAAGAUGAAGCACAUCUAUUGUCCAUGCAUAGACUGUACAAAUGUUAUUGUAUUUGAUGACACUAAAUCAAUCAUUUAUUAUUUGGUCUAACAAGAAUUUAUGAUGGAUUACUUGUUUUGGACAAAGGGUAGCUUGCGCCUUAUACAAAUAGAAACCUUACGAACAUCGACGUUGAUGCUGAUGGAUUUCCGUUCCUACAUGAGAUACAACAACCUCUUUCCUAGAGUGAACAUGUUGUGCCAAAUGUUACGGUUAUGGAAGAUGUAGAAUUCUUAGGGUAAAGUUGCAUCAUCAUAUGGAUCCAUGAAUAUUAUUAAUGAAAGGUAUGGAAGCCCUGAUAAAGGCUGCAGAAGAGACUUUGCACGACGAGUCUAAGGGUUAUACCAAAGAGUUCAUGACACUGCGGUCUAUGCUAAAGUUGUCGAUGUUAAAAGCUAGAUAUGGUAUGUCUGAUGCUGGCUUGGAUGCAUUCUUGUGUAUUAUUGCAGACAUGCUUCCAAAGGGAAACAAUGUGUGUGCUAAGACGUACUAUGUAAAGAAACUAAUCAGUCCGCUCACUAUGGGUAUGGAGAAGAUCCACGCGUGUCAUGAUGACGAUGAUUAUAAGGACUUAGAGAGUUGUCCAAAGUGUGGUGCAACUACGUACAAGACAAAUAAAGACUAUCGAGAGAAAGAGUGUGUUGCCUCCAUUUCUAAAGGAAAGAAGCGAAAGGAGACCAAAUAGAACAAACAAUAAAGUUCAAAAUCUAGAAAAAUAUUCCUACUUUGAUGAUGUGGUGUAACACCCUAGUGUUAAGUAUGCAUUAAGGCUUCAUCAAACUUAUAUGAGCAUUGGCACAAGCAUGAGCAUCUCAUGUGUUGUGCUAUAUUUUAUGCAUAUCUUUUAAAUGUGAAUUAAUUUUGAUAAUUGUCAUGCUAUGUCUAAAAAUGCUUGUUAUGCCUAGAUUAAAUUGUUUUAUGCCUAAACUUAAAUUAGAAAAUUUAAGUACCAUUUUUGGAGCCCUAGAAUUAAAGGAGUUGAUUUAAAUUAAAAUUUCGCAAAAUAGAUUUAUUUCAAACCUAGAACUAACUUUAAAUUGAAAUUCAAAAUCCAUUUGGAUUCUUGAUUUGCACCAUAAAGCAAAGUUAUAGAGAAUUUUAUUUUGAGCAACUUUUAUUUUUGGGUCAACUCCUGAAAAUGCAUUUAAAACAGUGUUUAAAAAUUAAUUGAGAAAAUAAAUUCAAAAAAAAGAGAAGGGAGGAGCGCCCUACUGGGCCACGCACCUUGCUUCUGGCCCAGCAGCCAAAGCCGGCCUGGCUCGUGAGCACAUCCCCUUCCUCCUCAGGCGCGCACUGUGGCCAGGUGACGUCGUGGCCGACCGUGCGUAGGCCAGCCGCGCCACGUGGAUGGCAAGCAACGGCAGCGGCUACGACAGUGCCUGCUUGCCCGAGCAGAAGGGGACGACAGCGGCUCUGCGUUGUCCACCUUCUCCACUCCACCCCGACCACACCUCUCUUGCUCUCGUCUCACAAAGCAGAGCUUGACAGCACCAUCGUCCGCCAUAGCCGCUACCGAGCUCCAGCGUCGACGUUCCAUCUUGUUGGUCGCUCCCGCCCUCGAUUCCUCCUGUCCACCGCUCCGUCUUCAUUCUCCUCAUCUCUGAAUGAGUCGGAUUGCCUCCCUUGGCUCAAGGUGAGGGAUAGCCGGCUGUCUUCUUCUUCUCUAGUGUGAACGUCGCAGCGGUUCAUGUGGUCAGCAAGGCCGCCGAGCCUCUUCCUCCUUCCUUUUGCGCGCAUCACAUUCGCCUUGACCUCGCCAAGCUCGUGCGUGCUCUGGUUCAUGCUCUACGCCGGAGUUCGUGAGUCCACCAUCCAGCAGAGCCAUCGUGCCGCCAUGGCCGGCGACGAGCUUGCUUCGGGGUGUCUCCAGACAAACCACCGCGCGCAUCCUGUUCGCCUAGGCUCGGGGAACACACAUGAGUGCUCGGUGUUGCCGUAGGGUUCACCGACAGCGAGAUCAGGCUCGCCGGAGUUCUCCCCCUCUCUGUGUGGCUAACAGGUGGGGUCGAGGACCCACUUGUCUAUACCUGUGUGCGGAUGCGGGUGCACUGCACCGGGUACACCUAGUAGAACUCGCCGAGACUUGAUUCUCAAUUUAAAGAAAUGUUUUUCAGAUAAUGGUUUAAAGCUUGUAAAAAUCAUAGCUUGAUUUCUAUUGCUCCAAAAAGUUUAAACAAAUUUUGUUAUGCUCUAUAUUAGUAGAUCUAAAGUUCGGUGUACUUGGUGUGAGACUUUUCUGUGAAGGUUUAUUUAAAUCUUGAAAAUAUUGAUUUCUUAUAAAAUAUGCAAAAAAUAAAAUAUAGCUCUGAAAAAUGUACUUCCUAUCUUGGUACAUUUGCACUACAAUCUAGCCUCUGUGAAAAAUGAGGAACCUAAUAUUACUCUACAAAAAUAAUUAUUAGUGAAUUAAUGCUUGCAUGAUGAUGGUUUAAGAUUUUUAAUAAAUAAUAUAUAAAUGCAAUUAAUCUAAGAAUUUUUGUAGGGCUCUCCUAUGUUACAAAGUAUUAAGGAAAAAUAUUAAAUUUGUUGUCUGACACUUUUGUAUGUAUAGAGUAUUUUCCAUUGUUUAUGUUUAGCAUACUUGUGAUUUUUGUGUGGGCCAUUUUACUUACCCAAAUUUUGUGAAAGUUUUAUGGUAGACUAUAUGUGUGAUCUAUAAGCUACUGUAAUUUUUAUGGAACUUAUUGAAUACCAGAGGUAUAUGUUGUUGUUAUUGGCCUAGUAAUAAAUAAAUAAAUAAAGAAUUAUUUUAUGUGAACUUGAAAGUAAUUAAACAGUUUGGUGUAUCUUUGAAGCAUUCUAAUGUGUGCUGCUUUAUCUUGGUAGGUGUAGAAAAAGAAUAGAAUAGAAUAACUUGUACUUAAGUUACAUGUUCUUGGAUGACAUUGACUACCUAGUACAAAUAGAUCACAUUGUCUUUUUGUCAUGACUCCCCUCUACCGGAGAGGAGAUAUGCACAUACUCAGUAAAUAACACAUCAUGACCACCCUUGUGAUCAUCUGCAUAAUCAUGCACCAUAUGUUCACCAUCCACUUACUUGAGCAUAUGCAUCAUACAGGCUCGUAGAAGAACGACGUGGUGACCGAACCUGAGGAGCCGGAGGUGACCGAGGUGCAGGAGAUCACUGAGGUGGAAGAGCAAGAAGAGGAGCUGCAAGAGUGUCUAGAUCACAGUCCUAGUUCUUUCGAGAAAGGCAAGCCUUGCUCCCCAAAUUUUCUGCUAAUUAUAUAUAUAUCAUGAUGGUUAUAUUGUUAUAUUAAGUUAUAGGAGUUGCUUGAUACCAUUGAUGUAUUGAAUAUCCCUUGGAAUAUCACCUUUCUACAUACCUUAUCCUAUGUAGUAUGGGCUCAGAGUCAAUGCUUAGCUCUGCUUAGCACAGUAGAAGUCGGAUGAUUCCCUGUCACCUGCGAGCUGUAGGUGGUCACCAAAGGUUUGGCAGUAUGUUUGCUAUCAUAAGUAAUAACCAAAUGUUGGGAAGCAAAGCUAAGACCGGACGAAACCUUUUGGGGGUGUUGGACCAUAGUGAUUCUGUCCUUGUCGAUUAAGGACCGAUCAUUGGUGGUCCUCUUGUCAUGUUGAACGCAUACCCUACACUUAACUUGAAGGAUAAGUUGUUCUGACUGUGAAGGUGGGACGCUAUUUGGGCCAGGAAUUGACCUGAUGUACGCACUGUAUUGGAGAUAGUUGAGGAGACUGAUGAGGGCGCGACGUGCAACCUUGGUAUGCCUUGGAUACCUUUGUCAUCGGAACGGUCCUUGGGUAUGGUGGUGCCUGCUGAACCGUGAAUUGGUCCUGAAUAGUGCAUCCGGUGACCUGUAGCUUACUUGAUCAGUGAGUGUGGCUUAUGUAGGGAAUAAAAUCACUAGCUGGUUAGGAAUUGUUUCGAAUCAUCAUCGCUCCUGGAUAGUAAGCACUUGACUUGAGCUUUGUCAUCGUAUUAAUGUUUAUGGAACACUGGAUGGUUAUGAGAUAUUGAUGAAGCUGGAAAAGCUGCACUAAAUUGGUAUUAUUGUACUGAAUCAAGUGAUUGCUAUAGUACAGGUGUUAAUCUAGAUGAUAGGUUAAUGAUACUUAACUUGAGCUAAUUAUCUAAAAAGGUUAUUUACUUAGUAACUUAAGAUUUUAUGGAAAGUUUGUGUCGAGCUACCCCUUUAUACAGCCUUACAUGAUCUUUGGUGUCAUUUAUUUCUGUUUUGUGAUAGGUAAGUCUAGCUGAGUAUAUUCUCAUAAUCAGGGCUCUGUUUCCAUGUUGUUUUGCAGAUGGGCAGAUGUACUAUGGGUACUGUAUUAACUGUCUUUACCUAGCUAUGGGUGAUGCUUAGACCAAUGGUGUGGUCACUUUGUCUUAUCUUUUGAUUUUGUGGGAAUCAUCAGACUCUAGCACUGUAAUCAAACUAAGUUUGUGUGUUUUCUAAAACUAUUCACUUCCGCUACUACUUUCAAGACUUGGUUUGUAAUAACUAAAUUCAAACUCCAAUGUACUGAAAUGUUUGUCAAUGAUAUGUAUUGUAUGAAUGGCGACCACUGAACUUAUUACGAUCUCUGUUAUGUUUGAGGAAAUUUUGAGAUCCUUCGAGAUUUCAUGGACUACCGGGAUUAUAUGGGCUUAAGUCUUUUAUAAUUUGGACAGUUCUGUUACAGCUAGUGUUGGAGCCAGUUUUAGCGGAUUACAGUUCAUAAGUAUAUUUAAAACAAAUUAAAUUUGUUUACAAAAACUGAUUAUCCAUCACGAAUUAUCAAGGUGUUAAAGUGAAUUUUGGAAAAUUAUAAGUGUGCUAGUGGUCAUAUCCUUUAUGUCUAGUUAAAGACUCUAAGGUGGCUAUUUAAGUACUGACUUGUUGGUUUAUGCAUCAUAUUUCUCUUUCAUUGCUCAUAUGGCAUUGUUGACAUUUACUACCGCCAUUACUAAAAAUAUAGAUAAACCCUACCUCUAGCAACAACGGCAAAAAUGCUCGGUAUAUAAUUAACUUAUCAUUAAGCAACUAGCCACUUCUUAAUGACUAACAUUCCUAAACAUGAAGUAGGUUGUCAUCCCUAAUUAUAUUGCUAGGAAUUUAUUAUAUAUUCACAUGUACUAUUGUGACUAGGCAGAAAUAAAAGAUAUGAAUAUGAUUAUAAACUAAAUGGGUUCUAGAAGUGGACAGAUAAUUAUACCAUUGUAGGAUUUUACCUAGGGAAGUAUCCAGGUUGUCGAUUUAUAUUUAUACCACUGGGAAGGCUAUGUGUUAAACAAUAAUCUAUUAUAUUGAUAAGAAACUAUAUAGGAUGAAUAAAUGAUAUUACCAAGGUUGUCUAAUCUACUCAUAACAGGUAGAGGUCACAAGAUAAAUAUGGGUAAAUAAUAAUGAUAGCAUAAUCAUCAAGUAUCAUAUUUAUGAAUAAUCAUUAGAGCAUCUACUAGUCAUGAUCAUAGUUAGCCAUUAGAUAAACUAGGGAGUUGGAUCUAAGGUAAUUCUAUAACUACAUCACUGAAUAACUCUAAUUAGUGCAAUUACAUCUAGAAAUCAUUGUUGAGCUAACCCUAUAUCAUAGUCACAUGUAAAGAGGCAUCAACUAAUGAGGGUAUUAAGACACAAGGGUCACCUCCUUCGCGACCGUGCCCAUGCUAGUCCUACGUACGAAGGGUGGACUACAGAGGAUACGCAACUGUCACCUAUGCGGUCUACCACACGACCCGACACGUCAGAGUGCACUCGCAGAUAAACAAUAUAUCUAGACACCACGUCUACAUAUUAUCUAUCAUCAACCCAAAGAUCUAUUAGGUCAACGCUAUAUGAGCAAUUACAUGAAUUCAAUAAGAUCAAACCAACUAUCCUAGACAUAUAAUCAAAGUAGACAAUGGCUAUUGCAAUUAAGAAUAUAUGAAUCUAUUAAGAACAAAGUCUCCCUAAUAUACAAUUGAAUACUAUAAAGUAAGAACAAGAUCUAUUACCGAACUCUUGCGCUCCAGACCGAAGCUAGGGGCUCCAGAUCCCGAUGAAGAACUAGAUCUCCUCUACUUCCAAUCUAACUAACUAGAACUACGAACUAGAAGGCUCUUGAUGAACUUGAAGGCGCUUGAUGCUUGAUGGCUCGAGGCCUUGAUGAAUAAUGGAUUGGUUUAUUUCUCCAGGGGGGUCUACCCCUGUAUUUAUAGUCCGGAGGGAUGCGCGUGCGUCGUAGGAUCAAACCGACUUAACCAAGGGCCGAGAUGACUCCUCGUAGGUGGUGGAGGAAGCUUCUAGAAGAGGAAGGUCAAAACCCUAGAUGGGGCACCAGCCGGUGCUAGGGUGGGGCCAGCUGGCCCCACCUGGCAGCCGCCUGGCCCCCUGUUGCUUUGGGUGUCUUCUCGAUCCUUCCUGAGUCCUCCCGUGAUAUUUCCCGUGGUGGAUAAGUUUCGUGUUUAUUUUGUACUAGAAUCCCUCUUUUCAGCUUUCCUAGAAUUCACCCUGAAAAAUACAGGAUAUACAAAACUCGUGGAAAUUGUCAGUUUAAACCCUAGACUAGUGUGUUUUCAUGUUCUCCUUCGGGUUUAAAGCUCUAUAAAAGUUGACGUUAUCGAUCAUCAAUCUCACACCCAUAUUUUAAGAACAAAAUAGGAUGCAUAAAAGACUCAUAUGUGCCCCAGAAACAGUCGCACACAUAAGUAGACAAAUCUCAAAUGUACCAUUGCAGUGUUUAUUACAUAGGGGAACAAUAAUAAAUCACAUAGUCUUAUACAAGAAUGAUAAUAAGAUUAAACAACGCUCUCGACGGAAGCACCACACAGGGACACUGUUGACUAGUUGACUCCAAGCCUAAUACUCAUAACGGUAGUCCUCAUUCCAAUCAUCAUCAUUAGCAUAACCUGGGGUGUUGGGAAAUUGCAAGAGUGAGCACAUAUAGUACUCAACAAGUAUAACCAGGGGUUCAUGAGGCUCAAAUAGCUGACACUGGUUUUACUGAAUUUAGCUUUUAUAUGUAGAUAGCAUGUUUAUAUUUAGAUAGCCAAUAUCAAGGUAGCAUAGUAAAUCCCAUAACCACAUGAUCAAUGUAUACAAGAAUAAAGAAUAACACAUAUAAAUAACAUAAUAAACCAUCAUUUAUUAUCAUUAAUCAUAUUCAUCAGUGUCCAUCUAUUCCGUCAGUUUUUUGGGCCGCCCGUAUCCGUGGGCACGGCUAGUAUACCAGAUUUAACACUCUGCAGAGGUUGUACAUCUUUACCCAUGAGUCAUGAUUUACCCUUUCGCCCAAGGUAGCUAAUAUCUUAACCUCCUUCCUAGGGAGGUCGGUAGGGAUCACUAUGAAGCCUUUCAAAAGUUCGUCUAACAUGUUAGGGCCGCAAAGUUUCCUUCGUGCGCAGAUAUAGAUACCCCCCUUCCAAAUGGCAUAAUGACGCGCAGCCUAUACACAUAAGGAUAGGGGCUCGCACUAUACCCAAAACGGUUCAGCCCCUCUAGCGUCCUUUCGGGUAACCUCUAACAAGCUAGAAAAGGUCUUCAUACUGAGCUAAAGCCAGAGCCAUAUAACCCUCAUAGUUGUACGAGUUAUCCCAGCUUUUGCCAAGGGAUAAGUCCUUAUGAAGGGUCAAGAUCAAUCCAGCAAAAGCCAGAGUUCUUUCCACCCUUUAUAUUCAAGUUGCUAGAAAGCUUAUUUUAUUGUUUAUUGUAUAUUCAAAUAUUUAUGUUACAAGAUCAUGGAUUAAUAAUCAAGCACUAGCAAGAACUACCCACAUGCAUAUCCAAAUAGGUAACAAGGAAUUCAGGAUAACAAUCAUCUAUGAUUUUGCUAAAGUCAUCAAGGUGGACACAUGCAUAUGAUAUAUGUAUUAAAAGUGUGUAGGUAACAAGGAUGAUCCUAAGUUAUACUUGCCUUGAUCAAAGCUCUCCUGAGCCUGCUGCUGGUCUUCAAAAGAUGGACCUUGAUCACCAACGUAUCAUUCUCUGUCUAUACUCAAUCAUCAAUCAACAACACGCAAUCCAAUGUAGACAUUCAUACACGAAGCAAACAAGCUAUUAUUAGAACAAUACACCAAACAAUGGUAAAACAAAUAUAAAAGUUUAUCAAAAUAUUCUACGCAGCGCUACGAUCACAUAAAUGUAAAGUUCACGAAAAUCAGAAUUAAAACGUAGAAGAUAUGAAUUUUCCAAGAUUUCCUAUUGAUAAAUAAUUAGUUAAAUACUACUGCAAAAUUAAAAAGUUUCAAAACAGAGAACUAAUACUCCUAACAUGUAGAGCUCGUAAUUACGAACCUAACGCACUUUGAAUGGACAAAAAUGGAGUUAAAACGAAUAUUUUAUGAGCAAAACAAAAUCAAUGGCAAUUCUGUAAAUACUGGAAAGCGUAAUUUGAUUCAAACCGACGAAAAUACGCUUUUAGAAAAUGAAAACGUAAACCAGAAAAUACGUAAAGGACGGCGGGUUGAUUCCUCGGACCCUAGGGGUCUCUUUAGCAAAAUAACCCCUGAAGGGGUAUCUUCUGUUCUGGUGCGUCGGAUUUCGAUCGGACGGUUGAAAUUGCGCAGGGGUGAGAUCCGGCCGACUGCCUCGCCGGAACAGGAGCCCGACGCGGCGGCGCCAUGGCCGGAGGAGCCGAGCUCGGCGGCGCUCAUGGUUUCGACGACUCAGAGCCUCCGCGGAAGAAAGAAAUGCACCGGGCGGAAGAGGAGCUUACCCCGAGCUCGCCUAAGCACCUUUCUAAGGCCGAGGACGCGCGUAUGGAGCUCGCGGCGGCGGCGAGAAGAACUUUGCUCGGUGAGAUCCCAAAACGCAAGAAAACGGUGGCUAGGGCACAGUUUGGCAAUUUAGAUGCAAAGAGGAGUUUGCGGCGGUGUUAGGGAGUCUUAUAGGACGCGAUUGAGCAAGAAAGCCCGGGUUCUUCGGGAUUUGGAAGGUGCGGCUUGAGUCCGGGUCAGUGACGGCAUGAGGAAGAUGGGAAAGGGGAGGAAGAGGCGCUGACUGUUGACGGUUCUUAAGUAUCAAUUUUAAUUAUCAAAUAAACAAGAGAAAGGACCAAUAUGCAACCAACACCUAGAAUUAGGGUUUGAUCUGACAGAAUUCCACGAGUUUUGUUGUUUAUCUGUUUCUGCAGGGGGUUAUUAGGAAAUUAGGAAGAAAGGCCCACAUGUCGGGAUUACAUAGAGAUAUCAACGCACCGCACAAUUUUCUACCAUCUAGAAGACUCCAGAAGCCACGAGAAGAAAGCAGAGGCCGAAAGGGGCCAGGCCCAGGGCGCCCGCCCUGAGGACCUGGGCGCCCGUCCCCCUCUGGAUGUCAAUCAGGACUCUUUUCACACACGACGUUCCACCGACCUAAAGGAUCAAGGAUAACGUAGUACCACAUCGCCUACUGGACCAAAAAUGCACAGAGGAGGAGGACUAUAUAAGCAGACCCCUUGGCCUCUGGAGGGACGGAAGUUUAUCAUAGAGUUGAGGGGUGCCCUCGAAGGAAAACCUCUUCUCUAAAUAAAAUUUCUUUUUAGGCUUAGCAACCAAUGUAAGUAGAAAUAGAUCUUCUAGUUUCUACUAGAUUGAGAGAGAUAGAGUGGAGGUGUAGAUCGGAGGAAGCCCGGCCUGUCGGUGUCUACUUCGAGCUUGUACCUGCGGGAUCAAGUUCUCCUAACUCGAGGCUUGCUCCUAGGAUUAUUCAGUAUUUCGACUUCUAAAUUAUAGUAAGUUCUUAUUUUAUUGUUCUUUUGGUUUAUGAGUUUACUUUAAUCUCUUCGCGUAGAGUUUAGAGUAAUCAUCUCUAGCGUAGACGUGGUGUUUAAGCUAGGAUACUCAUAGAUAUUCCCUGACUAGCUAGACCGUGGUAGUAGCGAGGAACGUGACAUUUCCGAGUUACCUUUGUAGACCAUAUCUCGUUAGCAGGAAGGAUAGGGUUUAUAGGUGCGGGUUGAACAUCCUUUCUGGUGUCUAGAUUCCGUUAGCGUCCCCAAUAGAAUAGUAGAUCAUCCUUACCAAGGUUAGAAGGAGAUUACGGUUGUAGUAUUCUCUAUUUAUUACUCACAUCGAGAAACAUUCUUUGUUGCCUAAACGGUUAGUAGUAAUAGACCAGGUUAGUCAGAUGCACUCUUUCUCCUAGUGGUAAAAAUAUAAAUACGAUACUCUGGAUAACAUCCCGGGUGAAGUGCUCACCGAUAUCCGUGCGCUUGCGGAUCAAUUCCUUAUUGCGUUCCCAAAUAUCAACAAUCAUUUCUGGCGCCGUUGCCGGGGAGAAAGACGGUUUGCUGAGAUAACCUUGAGUCUUACUACUAGCUUGUAUCUAUACUUUUAUCUUUUCUUAUCUUUUAUAUUCUUUAUCCAUUUUCUUUACUCUUACCUUAUGGAAAACCAAGAUUCUAAAUCAAUCUACCAAUUUGCAACACCUUCGGAAACUGAUCUUUUACCAUGGGAGUCAUCACAGCCUAUCCAAACAUCCCAGUAUAAGUUAAGUUCUAGGUUGAUUGCCAUGAUUCAAAACCUAUCUUUUUCGGGAAAGGAAGACGAAAACCCUUGCCUUCAUAUUAGAGAUUUUGAGCAAACAUGUGAUUGUCUUUGCAUUGAAGGCAUUUCUGAUAAAACUUUACGUUGGAAGCUUUUUCCUUUUUCUUUAAGUAGAGAAGCUAGACAAUGGUACAGUCAGAAGGUAAGUCAACAACGAGGUGAAUGGGGAGUUUUACGAGCCAACUUUUGUCUAGAUUUUUAUUCCCUCGAUCGUAUCGGCGACCUUAGACUCGAAGUCCUAUCUUUUAAACAAAAAGAUAAUGAAACUUUGGGAAAAUCCUGGAAACGUUUUUCUGAUCUUUUAGAAUCUGGUCCAAACCUUAAUCUUGAAGACCCUGUUCUUUUAUUUCACUUUUUUCGAGGUCUUUAGAAAAAUCACAAACAAAUGCUACACACAAUGUCUAGAGGUUCUUUCUUUCGCAUCCCUACUGAUGAAGCUAGAGUGAUCCUAGAUAGAAUCCUAGAAGCUGAGAUGGAUAAUACCCUUCAUGAUGAAACCUACGAAACCGAAGUAGACACUCUGCCAAAUUCUUCAUCUACUUUAGCUAUCCCAGGUUCUGAGCCACAAGAGGAAGAAAUUCCACCACCGGACUUCAUGCUGGAUAUAGAAUCCGAUUUUUUUGCCGAUUUUGGAAACAUUUCAGACUACCAUUCUAUUGACAAACCCCAAAAUGGCCAGUUUAGCAUUUAUUUGCCAAGUGAAUAUCAAUUGAGAGAGCUUAUCUCAGUCAUGAGUAGCGAAUGGUUGGAGGAGUCAGAGCUUUCCUCUGAUGUGAUCCGUUUGGACACACCCUCUAUAACUAUACGCUGUGUUUAUAAUUCUGAUCGAUUUAAUGCUCUUUGUAAUCCUGUUGUGGGGAUCAACAUCAUGUCUGAAUCUUUUGCACUUAAACUAUUUAAAAAUCUUGUCUUAACCCCCACAACAAAGGUCAUAAUGGAAUCUUCGGGACGAUUAGUCCCCAGUCUUGGAAUUAUUAAUGUCCUACCUCUUACGGUAGAAGGCUCCAUGGUUCAUUUGAACUUCUAUAUCUUUGAUACAUGGGACUUCGACCUGUUGAUAGGACAACCUUUUAGAAGACUCCUUUAUGAAGGUCAUACUGGAAAGCUACACAUUUCUUUUGGAAAAACUUUUAAAAUCCCAAUAACAAUUUCACACUCUCUGAAUAAUAAGGCCGAGUCAUAUCUUUUGCCUGAUCCUAUGGAGGAGGUAAAGGCUGCAUCUCUUGAACUUUUAGAAGAAUCAGACUUAGAAGACGAAACUCCUUUCUUCAUAGAAGAAGAAGUCAAACCUUCUGAACCUGAACCCUUAGAUGAGUUUGCAGAAACACCUAGACCCCCCAUAGAGCUUAAAACUUUACCACCCGGUCUUACCUAUGCUUUCCUAAACAAUAAUCCAGAGUUUCCUCUGAUCAUUAGUGAUAAACUUACUCAGGAUCAAACUCUACGAUUAAUGACCAUUCUUAAGAAACAUCACUCAGUUUUUGGCUACUCACUCCAAGAUCUUACAGGAAUCAGUCCUAUGAUUUGUACCCAUCAUAUUCCAACAGAUCCUUCUGUUACACCUUCUCGAGAGCCCCAACGUAGACUUAACAACACUAUGAGAGAGGUAGUUAACAAGGAAGUUAUAAAGUUGCUGCAUGCAAGGAUUAUAUAUCCUGUGCCGCAUAGUGAGUGGGUGAGCCCAGUUCAAGUUGUGCCUAAAAAGGGAGGCAUGACUGUUAUUAUGAAUGAAAAGAACGAGCUAAUUCCGCAACGCACCGUCACAGGAUGGCGGAUGUGCAUAGACUAUAGAAAACUAAACAAAGCCAUGAGAAAGGAUCACUUUCCUUUACCUUUUAUAGAUGAGAUGCUAGAGCGAUUGCGAACCAUUCGUUCUUCUAUUUCUUAGAUGGAUAUUCAGGGUAUCACCAAAUCCCGAUCCAUCCUGAUGAUCAAAGCAAAACCACUUUUACAUGCCCAUAUGGAACUUAUGCUUACCGAAGAAUGUCUUUUGGGUUAUGUAAUGCACCAGCUUCUUUUCAAAGAUGCAUGAUGUUUAUAUUUUCUGAUAUGAUUGAAGAGAUUAUGGAAGUUUUCAUGGAUGAUUUCUCUGUUUAUGGAAAAACUUUUGAUAGUUGUCUUGAAAACUUAGACAAGGUUUUGCAAAGAUGUGAAGAAAAGCACUUAGUCCUUAAUUGGGAAAAAUGUCAUUUUAUGGUUAGAGAAGGAAUAGUGCUAGGACACCUAGUGUCUGAAAGAGGUAUUGAGGUAGACAAAGCUAAAAUUGAAGUAAUUACACAACUACCUCCACCUGUGAACAUAAAAGGAAUUCGAAGCUUUCUUGGCCAUGCUGGUUUUUAUCGUAGAUUCAUAAAAGAUUUUUCAUUUAUUGCUAGACCACUUACUCUUUUGCUAGCCAAGGAUGCUCCUUUCGAAUUUGAUGAUGCAUGUCUAACAUCUUUUAAUUUAUUAAAGAAAGCACUCAUCUCUGCACCAAUCAUUCAACCCCCUGAUUGGUCGUUGCCUUUUGAAAUUAUGUGUGAUGCUAGUGAUUAUGCUGUGGGGGCAGUUUUGGGACAAACUAAAAAUAAGAAGCAUCAUGCAAUUGCUUACGCCAGUAAAACUUUGACAGGAGCUCAACUUAAUUAUGCAACCACUGAAAAAGAGCUUCUGGCUGUUGUCUUUGCCAUUGAUAAAUUUAGAUCUUAUUUAGUUGGAGCUAAAAUAAUUGUUUACACUGAUCAUGCUGCACUAAAAUAUUUGCUCACUAAAAAAGAUGCUAAACCUCGCUUGAUUAGAUGGAUCUUAUUACUCCAAGAAUUUGACAUAGACAUAAAAGAUAAAAAGGGAGUAGAAAAUUCUGUUGCAGAUCACUUGUCUAGAAUGUAUUUUAAGAGUCCACAGGAAACCCCCAUCAAUGAUUCACUCCGGAACGACAUGCUCUACGGGAUUAACAGGUCUGACCCCUGGUAUGCAGAUAUUGUUAAUUUUAUGGUUUCAGGGUAUGUACCACCAGGAGCAAACAAGAAGAAGCUUAUUCAAGAAAGUCGUUCACAUAUAUGGGAUGAGCCAUACCUCUUCCGUGUAUGCUCUGAUGGCUUACUUAGGAGAUGUGUGACCACUGAGGAAGGAUGGAAGAUCAUCGACAGAUGUCAUUCAUCACCAUAUGGAGGUCAUUAUGGAGCAUUCCGUACACAUUCAAAGAUCUGGCAGUGUGGAUUCUACUGGCCUACAAUGUAUGAAGACACGAAGCAAUAUAUCAGAAGAUGUGGGCCAUGUCAAAGGCACGGAAACAUAAAUACAAUGGAUGCAAUGCCACUCACCAACAACCUUCAGAUUGAGCUCUUUGAUGUCUGGGGAAUAGACUAUAUGGGUCCAUUUCCUCCAUCAAAGAAGUGUGAGUACAUCUUGGUGGCAGUAGACUACGUCUCCAAGUGGGUAGAGGCAUUACCUUGCAAGCAUGCCGACAACAUCAGUUCAAAGAGGAUGUUUGAAGAAAUUAUAUUUCCAAGAUUCGGAGUCCCCGGAGUAGUGAUAAGUGAUGGAGGAGCACACUUCAUCGAUAAACGCUUCAAGCAAUAUCUAUCAAAACAUGGAAUCCGUCACAACGUCGCUACCCCCUAUCAUGCCCAGACAAGUGGCCAAGCAGAGACUUCCAACAAACAAAUCAAGAAUAUUCUUCAGAAGACAGUAAAUGAAAUGGGAACGGCGUGGAAAGACAAGUUACCCGAUGCACUCUGGGCAUACCGAACAGCAUACAAGACCCCAAUUGGAAUGUCUCCAUACCAAUUAGUGUACGGGAAGACUUGCCACCUACCUGUUGAACUAGAGUUCAAAGCACACUGGUCCAUAAAGAGAUGGAAUAUGGACCUAGAUGUUGCUGGAGAUCAUAGAAGAAUGCAACUAUCAGAAUUGGAAGAAUGGCGAGAGAAAGCAUAUCACAAUUCAAAGAUCUACAAAGAAAGAGUCAAAAGGUGGCAUGACAAGAGAAUCAAGAAGAAGGAGUUCACACCCGGAGAUAAGGUAUUACUUUUUAAUUCCAGGGUGAGGCUCUUCGGGCAUGGAAAACUCCGGAGCAAAUGGGAAGGACCAUUCAAGGUAAUUAAUUCAUCAUCCCACGGAGCUAUCACACUUCAAAAUGACAAAGGUACGUUAUUCAAGGUAAAUGGUCAACGUCUUAAAUUAUUUUUAGAGCCCAAUAAAGAAUUAGAAGAAAUAGACGUAGUCCAUUUUUACCUUCCCAUGGAGAAUUAGAGCCCGACCUUUUUAAUCUGAUGUUUAUGGGCCAUAUAUAUUUUUCUAAAUAAUUUUGCAUCUAGAACCACGCUCGAGAAAGUGGGCCCACAGAGGGGCCAGAGAGAGGGCGGGCACCCAGAUCAGGUGGGCGGCCGCCCAGCUCCUGUUCCCCCUCAGUCCCGAUUUUCUCUGUUAUGGAAAAUACACUUAUGGUAAUCCGAAUAAUCCCUCAGAUGGAAAGUUUCGCACGCACAUCGAUGGGAGCAACCCGAACAACCCCUAGAGGCACUUUUUGACCCCUAUAUAAACAGACCCCCGACAUCAGUUUUCAAACACCAAACCACCAAGCCUUCUCUUCUUCUUCUUCAAUUAUAGCUUGAUUAGUUCCUUGCUGCUCCAAUGGCCAAGAAGUUCCAUGAUGAUUGGGAAGUCGUCCCCUUCAACCUCAACAUGGAGCCUGCGGAAGACCCCGACGCCCGUGCUCUCGUCCCGGCCAACACAGAGCGACAGCUAGAAGCCAUGCCAUUACGCCAACGCAGCUCCGCCCAAUCCUACCAUGCUCAACCAGUUCUCACCGCACCGCCACAACCCCUACUCCUCAAGGGAUCAUCAUCCAAGACGAAGACCACCAUCAAGGUGCCAACCGACACGAGGAUCCUUCCACCUAGACCCAAUGAGAGGGUCGUUGGAGUCAAGACCAACCGGAGCGGCGAGAUCAGCAGCAUACGCUACACUACGGAGGAGGAAAGACCUUAUUUCGAAGGGAUUAGAGCAGCCAAAGUCCGUUUCAUCCCUCCAAAGGCAGCCCCGAAGCACGCUCUCAAUGCUUUUGAGACACCUCCCAAGCGUCGCAAGACUAUAGUAGAUAUUGAUGAGGACGUUCGCAGGCUAGACAAAGUUAUCAUAGACCUCCAGUCCUCGAUUAAUUCCCUCACUAGGCAGCUCUCUAACCACAACACCGUUAUACUAGACCUUAGGCAUGAUCUUGCUAGUGCCAAUAAGAAGAUUAAGGAAUUAGAGCGCCGCUAAGUUAUCUAGAUUAGACCUUGAGGCAAUGCAUCUUAGUUAUCAAUCUUUAAAUUCGGUUUAGGUUUACUAUUAUUGUCAGUUUAUCAUCAGUUUGCUACUAUCGUCAGUUUGCUGAUAGUUAUUUGUAAUAAAUGCCUCAAGAUUAAUAAAGAGUAUUAUUAUUAUUAUUAUUAUUAUUAUUAUUAUUAUUAUUAUUAUUAUUAUUAUUAUUAUUAUUAUUAUUAUUAUUAUUAUUAUUAUUAUUAUUAUUAUUAUUAUUAUUAUUAUGUUUUGUGUGUCUCUAUUUUAUUUUUUGUGCAAGAAAGCAGAAACAAGUAUAGGGGGAGAUCCCUCGACAUGCCAAACACAACUUCGACUACACCACUCCACGAGUCAGGUACACACUCUGCACACUUUACUUUACACAUACACAUAUCUUGGAUUAUGCAGAAUACUGUUUCCGACAUGAUAAAUUAAAAAGAUUAAAAUAUUUCUAAUCAUGAUUAAACUCACUCUGUGAUAUUUUCUGAAACAUGCAAUUAUUGAAAAUCAUUUUAAAACCCUGUGUUACUUAAGACAGUAUGGAAUGUGAGAUGGUAGAGUAUGAGUUUCUUAUUCUUAAUAUCAUUGUUGCUUGGAGAAUUUAUUUCAAAAUCUUCAAAAUUCUAGCUACCAUCCUCAGUGUUUUAUAUGCCUAAUAAAACUGAAAAUAUUAAUUAUGAUUAUAAAAGCUAUCUACUGUAUUGAGUUUGUUCAAAAUAAGUUAGACCCUUGUUGAGAGAUUUAUCAUGCUCCUAAGAUAAAGACAUUUAUUCAGAAAGAUUCACUCUUCCGAAGUAUUAUUGCAUUAGAGGCAUGGGCUAUGCAAAAAUAAAGAUAUCUCGAGGAAAUAAAAAGGAGCAAGUGCUCGACAACCUCGCAGAAAAAAUGGACAAGUGUCCGGCAGUAGAAUUAGGGGUACCUCGGUAUCCACUUAAAAAAAAGAAAAAAAAAAGAAAAAUGAUAGCCCAUGGUCCCUCUAAUAAGCAAUAUGCCAGCAAGAGUUGACAAAGAUUUUAAUUUCCAAAUUCUUUGAUCUAAGAGUAUGACAUUCCCCUCCUCGGAUCCCGUUUUGAUCAGGCAAUAAAUACAAAGGUAAGUAUGCUUGAGAAUUUUUGCAAUUUAAAACAACCUCAGUGAGAUAUGUAAAAGAUAAUGAGUGAUCUGAGAGAACCUAUGAAGAUAAAAGGUAUGCUAACUUUCUUUUCAAAAAUAUACAAAAACUCCAAGUAACAGGAUUGAGAAGAAAGGAUCUUUACUCUUAACCAUAUACUUCCCUGACUAUAGUACACGGUGGAUUUUAACACCCUGCAGUUAUGAAAAGAAUGUUUUACCCCAGAUAUUGUUCUUAACCAUCCUUUUCUCGAGGACGAGUAAAAGCCUAAGUAUGGGGGUAUUUGUUGACGGUUCUUAAGUAUCAAUUUUAAUUAUCAAAUAAACAAGAGAAAGGACCAAUAUGCAACCAACACCUAGAAUUAGGGUUUGAUCUGACAGAAUUCCACGAGUUUUGUUGUUUAUCUGUUUCUGCAGGGGGUUAUCAGGAAAUUAGGAAGAAAGGCCCACAUGUCGGGAUUACAUAGAGAUAUCAACGCACCGCGCAAUUUUCUACCAUCUAGAAGACUCCAGAAGCCACGGGAAGAAAGCAGAGGCCGAAAGGGGCCAGGCCCAGGGCGCCCGCCCUGAGGACCUGGGCGCUCGCCCCCCUCUGGAUGUCAAUCAGGACUCUUUUCGCACAUGACGUUCCACCGACCUAAAGGAUCAAGGAUAACGUAGUACCACAUCGCCUACUGGACCAAGAAUGCACAGAGGAGGAGGACUAUAUAAGCAGACCCCCUGGCCCCUGGAGGGACGGAAGUUUAUCAUAGAGUUGAGGGGUGCCCUCGAAGGAAAACCUCUUCUCUAAAUAAAAUUUCUUUUUAAGCUUAGCAACCAAUGUAAGUAGAAAUAGAUCUUCUAGUUUCUACUAGAUUGAGAGAGAUAGAGUGGAGGUGUAGAUCGGAGGAAGCCCGGCCUCUCGGAGUCUACUCCGAGCUUGUACCUAUAGGAUCAAGUUCUCCUAACCCGAGGCUUGCUCCUAGGAUUCUUCAGUAUUUCGACUUCUAAAUUCUAGUAAGUUCUUGUUUUAUUGUUCUUUUGAUUUAUGAGUUUACUUUAAUCUCUUCGCGUAGUGUUUAGAGUAAUCAUUGCUGGCGUAAACGUGGUGUUUAGGCUAGGGUACUCAUAGAUAUUCCCUGACUAGCUAGAUCGUGGUAGUAGUGAGGAACGUGACAAUUCCGACUUACCUUUGCAGACCAUAUCUCGUUAGCAGGAAGGAUAGGGUUUAUAGGUGCGGGUUGAACAUCCUUUGUGGUGUCUAGAUUCUGUUAGCCUCCCCAAUAGAACAGUAGAUCAUCCUUACCAAGGUUAGAAGGAGAUUACGGUUGCAGUCUUCUCUAUUUAUCACUCACAUCGAGAAACAUUCUUUGUUGCCUAAAGGGUUAGUAGUAAUAGACCAGGUUAGUCAGAUGCACUCUUUCUCCUAGUGGUAAAAAUAUAAAUACGAUACUCUGGAUAACAUCCCGGGUGAAGUGCUCACCGAUAUCCAUGCGCUUGCGGAUCAAUUCCUUAUUGCGUUCCUAAAUAUGAACACUGACUCGUGGGGCCCGGCUGUCAGCCACCGAACGGGGAGAGGCGCACGGCUGUCUGGCCACUGGGCCGCUCACGGGCCGAGAGAGGGAAUAGGCCGAACGAGGGGGAGAAAAGGGGGAAGGGUGCUGGGCUGCGGGGAAGCUGGUUGGGCUGAGCGCGGGGGAGAGGAAAAGCUGGGCUGCAGCCUUGCGGCCAGCUCCCAGGGGUUUCUCCCCUUUAACCUUUUAUUUUUAUUUUCUUUUUCAAAAACAUUUUCCAACUAGAAUUCUGUGCACAAAUUAUUUCUAUCCAAAAGCAAAGCAAGCAAAACAUAAAAUAUGCUCCAGCAUGAAUGCAUAACCAUGUUUCUAAUCCUAGGAUGAAUUUUAAUCACCAUAAAAUUAUUUAUUUGCUAGAUUCAAAAUGCUCACCAAAAAUACUUAAAUAAAUCAAUUUAAUUCCUGUUAAUUGAAAUCAAAUUUUUGGGUGUUACAAACUCUACCCUCCUUUAAAAGAAUCUCGUCCUUGAGAUUGAACGGUGCUUACUCAAACAAAUACGAAUACGAUUUCCUUAGAUCAUCCUCUCUUUCCCAAGUUGCCUCUACUUCGGAAUACCGAUUCCACUACACUUUGCACAUUCUAAUUACCCGACUUUUGGUGACUCUCUCAGCUGUCUCCAAUAUUCUGAUCGGAUAAUCUUCAUAAGUGAGAUCACCUUUAACAGAAAGCUCUUCCAAUGGUAUUUGCUCCUCAGGUAUACGCAAACACUUCUUAAGUUGUGACACAUGGAACACAUCAUGCACACCAGAUAAACUUUCAGGCAACUCUAACUGAUACGCUACUUCUCCACACCUUUGCAAAAAUUUAAACGGACCGACAUACCUUGGAGCUAGCUUUCCUUUCAUAUUAAACCUCUUCACACUCCGCAUAGGUGACACUUUCAGAUAGACAUAAUCACCUUCCUCGAAAGCUAGUUCUCUCCUUCGUGUAUCUGCAUAACUUUUCUGACGAGACUGAGCAACUCUCAGAUUAUCCCGGAUAGUCUGCACUUGUUGUUCUGCAUUUCUAAGCACAUCCAUACCAAACACCUGAGUCUCCCCAGUUUGAUUCCAAAACAAAGGUGUUCUACACUUACGACCAUAUAAUGCUUCAAACGGUGCCAUUUUAAGACUUAGCUGAUAACUAUUGUUGUAGGAAAACUCUGCAUAUGGCAAACUCUUAUCCCAACUGGUUCCAUACUGCAAAGCACAAGCUCUUAACAUAUCCUCCAGUAUUUGAUUGAUCCUCUCAGUCUGUCCAUCUGUCUGUGGAUGAUAUGCUGUACUAAAAUUCAACUUUGUCCCUAAGGAAUCAUGCACUGCUUUCCAAAAAGUAGAGGUAAACUGAGUGCCUCUAUCAGAUACAAUCUUCUUAGGCACUCCAUGCAAACAAACUAUCCGCUCCAUAUACAACUCUGCUAGUCGAGCUCCUGAAUCAGUGGUUUUGACUAGCAAGAAGUGAGCAACUUUAGUCAAUUGAUCCACUAUUACCCAUAUUGAAUCAUAUCCUCUUUGUGUACGUGGUAAACCUACUAUAAAAUCCAUACCCACUUCUUCCCACUUCCAUUCUGGAAUCUUCAUUGGUUGCAACAAUCUAGCUGGCCUCUGAUGUUCAGCUUUCACUCGCUGACAAGUAUCGCACAAAGCAACAUACUCAGCUACAUCUCUUUUUAAUCCAUACCACCAAUACUUCAGUUUUAGAUCUAGAUACAUCUUGGUACUACCAGGAUGAAUGGAAUAUGCUGACUCAUGAGCCUCUCUUAGAAUCAUAUCACGAAUAGCCUUCACUUCAGGAACACAUAUCCUUUUUCCAAACCACAGUACACCAUUGUCAUCUGUUCUGAAUCCUGGUGCUUUGCCUAGUACCACAUUCUGUGCUAUCUCCUUUAGCUUCUCAUCCUCCAAUUGUCCUUUCAAUAUCUCUUCCUCUAAAGUAGGAGUGACCUCAAUUUCCAUAGCAUUCACUACAAUUCCCAAGUUCAAAUAUGCAAAUUCAGCACACAACUCCUCAGAUUCAGGUGUCGCCCGAAGCUCAUUAGCAUAUUUCUUUCUGGUAAGUGCAUCAGCCACGACGUUCACCUUUCUAGGAUGAUAAUGCACUUCCAAAUCAUAAUCCUUUAUCAGUUCCAACCAUCUUCGUUGCCUCAAGUUCAGAUCUGUCUGGGUGAAGAUAUACUUUAGACUCUUAUGAUCAGUAUAUAUGUCACUCUUAUGCCCAAUCAAAUAGUGUCUCCAAAUCUUCAAUGCAUGGACCACAGCUGCUAACUCUAGAUCAUGAGUAGGAUAAUUCAGUUCAUGUUUCCUCAACUGUCUAGAUGCAUAAGCAACAACUCUACCUUCUUGCAUAAGAACACAACCCAAACCCAGACGAGAAGCAUCACAAUAGAUAGAGAAACUCUUACUCAGAUCUGGCAAUACCAACAUAGGUGCAGUAGUCAAUCUCUUCUUAAACUCCUCAAAACUAGCUUGACACUUGUUAGACCAUACAAACUUAGCAUUCUUCUCCAACAGAGCAGUCAUAGGCUUUGCAAGUUUUGAGAACCCUUCAAUGAAUCUACGAUAGUAACCAGCUAAACCAAAAAAACUUUGAAUUUCACUUACAUGUGUAGGUGGUUUCCAAUUCAGCACAUCUUUCACCUUACUAGGAUCCACUGCAAUACCACCAUUAGAGACAAUAUGACCAAGAAAAGAAACUUCUUCCAACCAAAACUCACAUUUACUACGCUUAGCAUAUAGCUUAUGUUCUCUCAGUUUCUGUAAGACUAACCAGCAUGUUCUUCCUUGGUUUUAGAGAAUACCAGAAUAUCAUCAAUAAAGACCACCACAAACUUAUCAAGAUACUCCAUAAAUACUUUAUUCAUCAUGUACAUAAAGUAAGCUGGUGCAUUGGUCAAACCAAAAGACAUAACUGUAUACUCAUACAACCCAUACCUUGUCGUGAAAGCUGUCUUUGGUAUAUCUGAAUUCCGAAUCUUCAAUUGAUGUUAACCAGAACGCAAAUCAAUCUUAGAGAACACACAAGCACCUCUUAGCUGAUCAAACAAGUCAUCAAUCCUAGGCAAGGGAUAUUUGUUCUUGAUAGUGACCUCAUUAAGUGACCGAUAAUCAACACACAUCCUCUGAUUACCAUCCUUCUUAUCAACAGAGAUAACUGGUGCACCCCAUGGUGAUGAACUAGGACGAAUGAACCCUUUAUCUUGCAAUUCCUUAAUUUGUUUCUUAAGUUCUUCUAGUUCAUUAACCCCCAUUAUAUAUGGUCUUUUAGCUAUGAGUGCAGUACCAGGUAGUAAUUCAAUAAUAAAUUCAAUGUCUCGGUCAGGUGGCAUACCUGGCAAUUCAUCUGGAAAGACAUCCGGAAACUCAUCCACUACUAGACUCUGAGGAUCAACAUCAUCGUUCAGUUGGUUCACUUUAGCUGUGAGUGGUGCUUGCACUGUUACAUCAACACUGAUUCGUUCUCCCUUUGGUGUUGUCAGAGCCACUACUCUCUCUUUGCACUUAAUAUCUAUCUCAUAUUGUUUCAUCCAAUCCAAACCCAAGAUCACAUCUAUGCCUGAAGUUCUCAUAACCAUGGGACUGAUAGGAAAAUCUACCCCCUUAAAGAAAGACUCGCUGAGGGGCAACAAUAAGAAACUGGUAUAGUCCGACCUGGUGAAUUUACUAGCAUAGAGGUUUUCAUGGCAACUACUAGAAUUCUAUGAACUCUAACAAAUGCUUGUGAAAUGAAUGUAUGCGAAGCUCCAGAAUCAAAUAAAACUAUAGCAGGGAUAGAGUUGAUGGUGAACGUACCCAUCAUAAUCUCUGGUCCCUCCUGAACUGUCUCUGUAGCCACAUUAUUCACUAUUGCCGCAUAAGCAGUAGACUUCUGGUUGCUGUUCGGCUUGUUGAGCUUCUCCAGGCAAUCAUAUGACAUAUGUCCCUCCUACCCACAAUGGAAACACCUUAUAGGAGUCUUAGAAGCACUUCUUUUCAUAGAGGUGGCAUUUGAGUUCCCUGAGCGGGGUGUCUGCUGUCCAUUCUACUGUUGGUUAUGAUUACGCUGCUGGAAUGGAGGACGCUGAUUCCCACCUUGUGAUUGAUUCCGGAAACGCUGAGGUUGUUGGUUGCGGUUCAACUGGCUAACUAGUCCCUGGAACCUUUGUUGAUGGCCUUGUUGAGAACUGAAACGCUGACGGUUGUUGCUCCCAGAACCUUGUGCCAGCAUCCUUCUCUUCUUAUCCUACCCCUUGCGCAUGUUGUCCAACACUAUAGCCCGAUUCACCAGAGCUUGGAAGGUAGGAUAAGAGUUUCCUGCCAGUUGCAACCUGAGUUCAUAGUAUAGGCCUUUCAUGAACAAGCGCUACUUAUCAGCAUCUUCUCUGACUUCAUUUGGAGCAUAGCGGGCCAACUGUUCAAAUGUGUCAUGAUAUUCUACCACAGUCAUGGAGCCCAUCCUGAGAGAUCUGAAUUCUUCUUGCUUGAGCUCCAUCAUUCCCUCAUUUAUAUGCUGAGCUCUGAAGUCUCUACAAAAUUCCAGCCAUGUGACAGGAGGAGCAUUGUUGGGACGAGUAGCUUGAUAUGACUCCCACCAUAUCUGAGCUGCCCCCUGAAGCUGUCCAGAAGUAUACAACACCUUCUCCAAGUCAUUGCACUAUGCUAUGUUCAGUUGCCUCUCCACAGCACGUAACCAAUCAUCUGCCUCUAUAGGAUCAGCUGAGUGUGUAAAUACCUGAGGUCUUCCCUUCAUAAACUCCCCACGCUUAUCUCUCACAUGAACAGGUGGCGGUGGUGGUGGAGGUUGCUGCUGUAGGUGCUGCAUGAAAACGUGCAUCAUCUCAUUCUGAGUUUGCAUGAGCUCUUCCACAGUAAUUGGAUCAUUGGCACCCAUGCCACGGCCUCUGCUUCUGCCUCUUCCUCGUGCUGCCAUCUACAUUCCGAGGUAUAUAAACAUAUCUCAGUAAUAUCCAACAUGAUAAAUACAAGAGAUCGUUGAAUCUGAAUUUUUCUGGACGACAUCCAACAUUAGCAGUCCAGAAAGUCAGUCAUAUCUCAAGUUCCAGAAUUCAAAAUGAUACAUUCUGUACACCGUUGAAAAGAUAAAGAAAUUAUCUACAACUUUCAUUUAGACCAUAUUAACAGAUUCCAUCAUUAAAUUAACCAAAACUGGGCACAACCGAAACUGUUCCAGAAUUCCAGACUGCACAGAACCUCAAAUUUAAACUGCCAUAACUCACGGCUCAUAACAGAUAAUAAUGUCAUUCUUGAGGCAUUGGAAAGAUAUGAAAGUCUACUUGUUCCCAGAAAAAUAUGAUGAACUUUUCACAAACAGAAUUUGAGAUGUACUAGAUUUGUUACAGACUGCUCCAGAAAACAGCAAAAGAUAGAAACAGAAUUUUAACCAAACCCAACUAUUUAGUUCAUUAAUCCUUAUGCCUUAAGCCUAUAACUAAAUGAAAUUGUAGAGAAAAUCCACUAGAUGAUUACACUCAUUACAAAGAUCUAAAUCAAGCAUAAGCAUAAUAACAACCAAACCAAGCAUCAAAAGUUCACACUUCAAGCAUUGACUUAACUUGCGGUACUAUCGUUCUCUUCUUGUUAAGGGUAAAGAUCCUAUAACUCCUAUUUCAAAGACGCUAGAAGGUGGUGAGAAAAAUUUCUAAUAGCAUAUCAAGCAAGGAGUGAGGAUGAGAACAAGUCUUUAAAAUAAGCAUCAAGGUGAAGAUGAAUAGCAAUGAAAAGGAUAUAGUAUAGGAGAAAAUAUCAAGGUUUAUUGAACAAGGAUUUUAUAGCAAUUUUAAAACCUUAAGACGGCCAAUUUCUAACUAGGCUUACGUCCGAUAGUCAACAAAGCUCUGAUACCAAUCUAUCACACCCAUAUUUUAAGAACAAAAUAGGAUGCAUAAAAGACUCAUAUGUGCCCCAGAAACAGUCGCACACAUAAGUAGACAAAUCUCAAAUGUACCAUUGCAGUGUUUAUUACAUAGCAGAACAAUAAUAAAUCACAUAGUCUUAUACAAGAAUGAUAAUAAGAUUAAACAGUGCCCUCGAUGGAAGCACCACACAGAGACACUGUUGACUGGUUGACUCCAAGCCUAAUACUCAUAACGGUAGUCCUCAUUCCAAUCAUCAUCAUUAGCAUAACCUGGGAUGUUGGGAAAUUGCAAGAGUGAGCACAUAUCGUACUCAACAAGUAUAACCAGGGGUUCAUGAGGCUCAAAUAGCUGACACUGGUUUGACUGCAUUUAGCUUUUAUAUGUAGAUAGCAUGUUUAUAUUUAGAUAGCCAAUAUCAAGGUAGCAUAGUAAAUCUCACAACCACAUGAUCAAUGUAUACAAGAAUAAAGAAUAACACAUAUAAACAACAUAAUAAAUCAUCAUUUAUCAUCAUUAAUCAUAUUCAUCAGUGUCCAUCUAUUCCGUCAGUUUUCCGGGCCGCCUGUAUCCGUGGGCACGACUAGUAUACUAGAUUUAACACUCUGCAAAGGUUGUACAUCUUUACCCAUGAGUCAUGAUUUACCCUUUCGCCCGAGGUAGCUAAUCUCUUAACCCCCUUCAUAGGGAUGUCGGCAGGGAUCACUAUGAAGCCUUUCAAAAGUUCGUCUAACAUGUUAGGGCCGCAAGGUUUCCUUCGCGCGCAGAUAUAGGUACCCCCCUUCCAAAUGGCACAAUGACGCGUAGCCUAUACACAUAAGCACAGGGGCUCGCACUAUACCCGAAACGGUUCACACUACUACAGAAUGAGGCAUUGGUCGAUGCCCAAAAUGGCCAAAAACCUCGGCCUUUUUGCGGCCCGGGGUUAAAGGCCCCUUUAACACCGGUUCGUAACACGAACCGGUGCUAAAGGGUCCUACCCAACGGCUACUGACGGGUGCUGUCAGGGCAGGGACCCUUGAGCACCGGUUCGUGUUACCAACCGGUGCUAAAGGGUCCCCUUUAGCACCGGCCAGUGCCACGGGCCGAGGCAAAGCCUUUAGCACCGGUUUCAAACACAAACCGGUGCUAAAGGGCGACCCUUUAGCACCGUUUUUUUCCCUCAACCGGUUCUAAAGCUCUGUUUUAUAUGCCUGCCUUCUCCUCCCCUCUGCCCAUUUGAAACCGAGAGCACCAUUGUUGUUCUUGGAGCUUCUUCUUCCUUGUUCUUCAUUUGUUCUUCAUCUCUGACGCCCAUCGUUGAUCUUCUUCGACUCCGUCAUCGUUUCUUCGUGCUUGGAGGUGACUAACUUUUGUCUUUCUUGUCUUUUUCAUGUUGUUUUUGGCUUGUGAUGUUCCCAUUAUUUUUAGCUCAAAUCCACUUUGUUAUUUUGAAUCAUUCAUAUGAAUUAGUAUCCAUAUAUAUAUAUCAUAUUUCAUGGUUGACCUAGUAUUAAUGUAGUUUGCAAGAAUGAAUUAUAGUAUCUUUUAUGAUCUUAGAAAGUAGGAUAGUUCAAAUUAAUUGGUUUGUUAAUAUCACUUGAUUUAUUUUUAUUACUACAUAAUGUCCAUUGUAUAAUUUAGAAGAUUUGUUGAAGUAACUAGACAAAUAAAGGAUAUUAUUAGGUUCUUCUUUAAUCAUACAUGUUUACUAGUAAAUGUGAAAUUUAUAAUUGUUUAAAAAUUGAGUAUGGAUAGUAGAUGGCAACCGUGACCGGGUCUUCGGUCUCUCAACGGGUUCAAAUGCGAUACCGGCCGGAACUCCCUCUCAUUACUUGUGGCAAGUGUGGGCAGAAGAUUGUGAUGGAGUACAAAGUGUCGAAAGAGGGAGUAAAUAAGGGUCGUAUAUUCUACAAGUGUCCAGAUCGUAAUGUGAGUUAUUUCCAGACAUUUGCUUAUAUAUGUGCAUAUUUUUUUAAAUGAUAUUAAUUAAACUUUUGAUUCUCUCUUUUAAUUUCAGUGGGACGGUACCGGCGGAUGUACGGGUUGGUACUGGGAGGAAGAAUACAUUGAACACAUUAAGAAAUCUUUUGCAUAGGUGGUUGAGGCUGAAGGUGGUGAGGCAGUGAGCCGACGAAAGGAGUUCAAUGAUUUUGAUCAAGCGAAUGAUCUAUCUAAUAGUUGGGAUCGGACGCGAAAUAAUUAUGUUGCUUAAGUGCAUUUUAGUUUUGGUUUUUUUAGUGCUAGUUGCGAUUGUAUUUGUUGUAGCCAAGCUUUCCUGAAUUAAUCAACUAUGUAUCUUAGACAUGUUGUGCAAUAAGAUGAGAAACUAUAUGUGUGCAUGGUUUUCAUAAUAUAUAUGUUAUAUUUAAUGCAGAUGGUAACACGUAAUUGGAUGUAUAAUGCCGAUCGGUGCUCCGAAGAGUUCAUUAAUGGCGUGCACUAUUUCUUAAGUGUGACUGAGACAAAUAAGAGGGACGGUUUCAUGUGCUGUCCAUGUGCCGUGUGCAAGAAUUUGACGGAAUAUUCUAACUCAAGAACUCUUCAUUCACACUUAUUAAAGUCUGGUUUCGUACCAAACUAUAUUUGUUGGACCAAACAUGGAGAAAGCGGGAUUAUAAUGGAUGAAGGUGAAGAAGAAGAAGAAGAAUUGGACCAUGCCAAUAUUAUUGCUCAGUACGGUGGCUUCAAUGAUGUUGCAAUGGGGGGAGAUAAUGAAGAAGAGGUAGCGGCAGAAGAUGAUCGGGGCGAUGAUGCUUUUGGUGAUGCCAUCCGUGAUGCACAAAGAGAAUGUGAAAGUGAUAAAGAGAAAGCCAAGUUCGAGCGCAUGCUAGAGGACCACAGGAAAUCGCUAUAUCCCACCGCUGAAGAGGGGCAAAAAAAGCUGGGUACCACACUAGAAUUACUGCGAUGGAAGGCAAACAAUGGUACAUCUGACAAGGCAUUUGGGCAGUUAUUGAAGAUCAUAAAAAAGAUGCUUCCAAAAGGCAACGAAUUGCCCACCACUACGUAUGAAGCAAAACAGGUUGUCUGCCCUUUGGGAUUAGAAAUCCAGAAGAUACACGCAUGUUCUAAUGACUGCAUCCUCUACCGUGGGGAGGAAUACAAGAAUUUGGAUGUAUGUCCAGUAUGUAAAGCAUCACGGUAUAAGAUUAGACGAGAUGAUCCUGGCGAUGUUGAGGGUGAAGAACGUCAUAGGAAGAAAAUUCCUGCCAAGGUUAUGUGGUAUGCUCCUAUAAUACCACGAUUAAAACGUCUGUUCAGAAAUAAGGACAAUGCAAAGUUGUUGCGGUGGCAUAAAGAAGACCGUAAGAUAGACAAUAUGCUGAGACACCCUGCCGAUGGAUCCCAGUGGAGAGCGAUAGACAGAGAAUUCCUAGAUUUUGCAGAUGAUGCUAGAAACUUGUGGUUCGCCUUAAGUACAGAUGGUAUGAAUCCUUUCGAUGAGCAGAGCAGUAGUCACAACACUUGGCCAGUUACUCUAUGUAUCUACAACCUUUCUCCAUGGCUAUGCAUGAAGCAGAAGUUUAUUAUGAUGUCGGUGCUUAUCCAAGGACCGAAGCAACCUGGCAAUGACAUAGAUGUCUACCUAAGGCCAUUAGUUGAGGAACUUCAACUUUUAUGGAGCAAACCAGGAGUUCGCGUGUGGGAUGAGUACAAACAAGAGCACUUUGACCUGCGAGCAUUGCUGUUUGUAACAAUCAAUGAUUGGCCAGCUCUGAGUAAUCUUUCAGGCCAGUCAAACAAGGGAUAUAAUGCAUGCACACAUUGUUAUGAAGACCUUGACUGUGUAUUUUUGAAAAAAUAUCGAAAGGUCGUGUACCUUGGCCACCGUCGGUUUCUUCCUGUGAACCACCCAGUACGAAAGAAAGGCAAGCAUUUUAAAGGCAAGGCAGACCACCGGACCAAACCUCUCAAUCGAACCGGGGAUGAUGUACUCGAAAUGGUCAAGGAUAUAAAAGUGGUAUUUGGAAAGGGACGAGGCAGCGAACCUAUUGCCAAGGAUGCUAAGGGACACGUACCCAUGUGGAAGAAGAAAUCCAUAUUUUGGGAGCUACCUUACUAGAAUGUCCUGGAGGUCCGCAACGCCCGACGUGAUGCAUCUGACAAAGAAUCUUUGUGUGAACUUGCUCGGAUUCAUGGGUGUCUACGGGAAGUCUAAGGAUUCACUUGAAGCACGACAAGACUUGCAGCGCAUGAAAGAACGAGACAACCUGCAUCUAGAAAAGACAGAUGAUGGACGUCAUUACUUAAGCCCUGCUAGCUACACUCUGAGCAAAGAAGAGAAGGAAAGCAUGUUUGAAUGUCUUAGUAGCAUCAAGGUCCCAUCUGGAUUCUCCUCCAAAAUCAAGGGAAUAAUUAAUGUGCCAGAGAAGAAAUUCCUGAACUUGAAGUCCCAUGACUGUCACGUUCUAAUGACGCAAUUGCUGCCAGUGGUUUUAAGAGGAAUUUUACCUCCACACGUACGUCUGGCCACCGUAAAGCUAUGUGCAUUCCUCAAUGCAAUUUCUCAGAAGGCAAUCAAUCCAGAGCAACUAGCUACUCUGCAAAAUGGUGUCGUUCAAUGUCUCGUCAGCUUUGAGUUGGUGUUCCCUCCAUCCUUCUUCGAUAUCAUGACACACCUCCUAGUUCAUCUGAUAAAAGAGAUUCGUAUUCUCGGUCCUAUGUUCCUACACAACAUGUUCCCCUUCGAGAGAUUCAUGGGUGUCCUAAAGAAAUAUGUGUAUAGUCGUUCCCGGCCAGAAGGAAGCAUUGCCAAGGGCUACGGAACAGAGGAGGUCAUAGAGUUCUGUGUUGACUUUAUUCCAGACCAUGACCCAAUUGGCAUUCCUGAAUCUUGACACGAGGGCAGACUCAGAGGAAAGGGAACACUUGGGAAGAAAACAUAUAUUGGUAGGGAGACGAUUACUUCAAUAAAGCACACUACACAGUUCUCCAGAACUCCUCAUUGGUGGAACCAUAUGUUGAGGUACACAAAGAUUUCCUACGGUCCCAGUGGCCCGGGAAGAAUGAAGCUUGGAUAAUGCGUCAGCACAUGGAAACUUUUGGCGAUUGGUUGCGCAAAAAAUGUCAAGGUGAUGAAAACAUUGAUGAGCAGCUUUAUUUGUUGGCCAGGCAACCAUGAUGGCAUGUCCUCACGUACAAAGGGUACGAGAUAAAUGGUAACACAUUUUACACAGUUGGCCAAGAUAAAAGGAGCACCAACCAAAAUAGUGGUGUACGCGUGGAUGCCACGGAUCCAAAUGGGAACAGACAAACAUAUUAUGGACGCAUAGAAGACAUAUGGGAACUAGUCUAUGCAGCUAAUUUUAAAGUUUCUUUGUUCCGGUGCCAAUGGGUGAAGCCAAGAAGAAUCUAGGUCGGGAGCAGGGGUUGGUGGAUGGUUAGUCCAAGACGCGGAACAACAGAGUUUUCUAGCGUAUUAUUAUACCGUCGUCGCCUUUGAAUUCUUUAUGUGUACGUACAAUUACAGCUCGAAUUACUUCGGAUCUUUCUAGAGGCAUUUGGGGCACUGCGCGGAGUUGAGUUCGGAAGAAUCCUAGUUUCUUUUUUUUAUGGAACACGCGCUUGCUAACUGACUAUUUUCAAGCCCGUCUCCAGAGGAUCCUCCUCGAGUUCUACCGGGCCCCGGUGAACGGCGGUCGCACGAAAGGCCUAGGCCUUUGAUUAGGACAUUGCACAAUGAUCCAAACACUUUGUCGCAUCUCUUCGAUACGAAUACAGUAACGAUCAUAGCGAUCCCCUCUGGUACCCCUGUGAAGCUUAACAGACAAAGAAAACGAUAGAGACUUCCGGGUAUAGGGUGACGAGCCUGACGGAGCAAUGCCGCGUGGAGGUGGAAGGCCUACGGGUCGUCAACUUCUUUUCUCGGAGAAGAAACAAUGACAGUGGAAACGGCGAACAAUUGCUGUAAUAUAUAGUAUAGAUACCGGAGAAACAUGCUGCUCUCCUCUUCUAUUCCAUUUUAUGUUUCUACAUAUCUUUCGAGAAGGGGGAGGUCCGAGCCAUAACGGAUUGAUGUGACCGUAACGGCGACUUGGAUAGCCGUAACACUCUCGGUAUGGAGGCGUCCCGAAGGGGACCGGCAGUAAGACUGCUUAUGCCCCGAAAGGCUGAGCCGAAUCAAAAAAAGCCUGGAAUUCCACCAACAGGAAUCUUCCUUCAAGUCCUCCAUACGUCAGUUUCUAUUCCAGCCCAGCAACGAAGGUCGGUCUGCAACAUUCCCUGGUACCCAUUCCGCUUACAGCUAGAAUCUCUAUCUCUGAUCCUGCCCUCCUUCCUAUCUGUCAUUUACAGAAGGUGCGAACCUGGUCUAGCAUCUCUCGGGUUUUUUUUCUCUCCUAUUUUUUUUUCUGUCAUAUAUUUUUCUCCUAUUUUUCAUUUUUUAUUUUCAAAAUAGGAAGUUCGAGAUAGAAUUUGGUCCAGUUGCUUCCCGCGGGUUUUCAUAACCCUGCUGCGCAAAAAUGGGGGUUAUUAUAACAAUAUAAAAUGAAGAUAAUGUUUGGAGUUUAAUAAGCUCUUUGCAAAAGAAUAGUUCCUGCUAGUGAAGUACCUAAAUAGUGCAAUCUCUUGCAUCGAGAAUCAUCCUACUUCUUCACUUAAUGCUUGCUUUCCGUCUUGCCUUUGCUGGGCCUACGAUAGGCUGUACUCCAAUACGAAAUAAGAUUUCUGGAGGCGCCUCACCACAAAUGCCUUUCCGUGACCCAAGCUACUUUACAAGCCUAUUUGUAAAAAACCUAGAAACUACUUCUCGUGAUGUUGUGGUAGAGCUUUUAUUUUAGCUCGAAACAUGCCGUAGUUCCUCGCUGGGACAGGAAUAAGUCGUCAAGUAGGCAUAUGAAUGGGAAAGGCUUUUCUUGUGGAUUCCUCCAACUCCAUGAAUGAAGGGGGGAGUAUGAGGAGGCUCUUUCAUCAACUGAUGUAAAGAUCAGUUAAUUCGCCAUAGUUUUUCUUUAGGGAAAGAUAAUAAGAUGGCUCCCUGUGCUCUGGCGCUAAUUCGUAGUGCUCUUCAGGUCCGAUACACAGAUCUGUCUUUUUCUCGAAAGACCUCCUUGUAUUUUCUAAUGUUCCGAAUCUAGCUUAUUCAACGUGGAUCCGACAAGAUCUGCUCCUCUUAGGCUCUACCACUGAGCUACUGAGGAACAAGGGGAGAUUCGACCUCCUAGAGUUCAACUCCCGCUCUCAACCCGUGAACAAUAUGAGUCCGAAGCUUCUUUCGUAACUCCUGAAAUUUGGUUUUUCAAGUAGUAUAGUUUUCUCAAGAAACCGGAAAAAGAUAAGUGUAGAUAAGUAAGGAGGGGCCCUUAGUGAGUGUGUAUAGGUUUCUGAGUCAGAAGAUUCUCAGGAUGGAGUUCCCCCGACUAGAAGGAUCCAGGGACAACGGCUAUUUCCUCCUAAAAUAUUGGCAGUAGCCGAAACGACUGGAAACCCAGGUAGCGGUCCGAAAAGGGCAAAAGUGGGAAGCGGAGACCGUAAAAAGGGGGAAAGGGCUGUUCCCUAUUAUUUCAAUCUUCCUCAACAGCUUCUAAUGAUUAACUUGCAAAACCCAUUCUUGCAAAGAGCCCUUUUUCCAAUCCGGACAAAAUCGCGGGUGUCCAGUUGGCAUGGGUCUGGGUUCGGCUCAUCAACUCGAACGGUCAAUGCUGGCCUGAUACCAGCAUCGUUAUACGUCACAAGUUGGGGUUGUUGGGGAGUAGGGCCGGGGGAGAAGUUCUAGAUACUUUUCCUUACAUUGUAUCCGACAUCCUUUCCAUUCUUUUGGAGAGAACUCGACUACUAGAAGGCACUAGACUCUGGGCUCCUCGUUCAUCGGGAAAUGGGCCUGAAACCGCGCACUCCCAGAAUGGCGCUUCAAAUAUCACCAAAGAGAGAGGGUGCUUGCACCUGGCACCUCGGUCUUCAGUUGAGAAAAGUGCGAGUCAUAGAAAGUUUGAAAUCCAAAUCAAGAUAAAACGCGAAUAUGGGAGCCCGGAGGAAGAUUCUAUCUUAAUAAAUGAGGGUUUUAUUGAGCAUCGAGGAACAAAAGAAUUUAGUCUAAAAUACCAAAAAGAAGUAGAUCGGUUUUUUUUCAUUCUUCAAGAACUGCAUCCGCUCUCAACCCGUGAACAAUAUGAGUCCGAAGCUUCUUUCGUAACUCCCGUUCCCUUGGCAAGGAAGUUCUGAUCAUUGCAUUGGCAUUCCAUGUUUGCAGGCCACAUCCCAAAGCAGCGAAGAACAAAUAGAAUUUGCUACAAAAGCCGGCUAAGGACAGACAAGAGAAGAAGUCAGAAGGGCAUAACCUGGAGUCCGUCUUUUCUAGGUGCGCAUCUCUAUCUACUAAAAGUAGCCCAUGUCUUUGAAAUCCAACGAUCGUAAUGCCUAUAAAAAUGGAAAAUGAAAGAGCCAAAGUUUUUACUAGAAGUGGAAGAGUUACACAAAGUUCGCGAAAUGAUCACAAGGGUUUAUGCACUAAGAACAGGCAAAUAUGCCUGGGUAAUUCCUCUUCUCCCACUUCCAGUUAUUAUGUCAAUGGGAUUUGGACUUUUUCUUAUUCCCACAGCAACAAAAAAUCUUCGAUCGGUUUCGGGUCAAAUAGGAAGAACGUAAAUCUUCCACCUCUGGAAAGCGCCUACACCUAAUGGCUUAAGCCGCUGUUCCCAUUUCCUCGCUGACCCAUCAUGCGAAAGGUACGCCGUUAGAGUGCGUGCGCCCGCGCUCCGCUCCUUCGACUGAUUGUUCGCAUCGGAUCUCAGGUUCUCUAUUGCACUCCCCGAUUGGGGUUCUUUUCACCUUUCCCUCACGGAAUAGAAAGAUAGAUCCAUCCAUCUAUCCAGAUAUCUAAAAAAGAAUCGAUUUUGAUUUCAUGAAACCUUUGAUUCAAAGAACUGCGCUUAGCCCCCCCGCUCAUGAAACGGCUCUGCUGCAAUGGAUGGCAGAGGGUCCGUAGUACA
Molecule: long non-coding RNA, 62059 nt
Filed under: Sorghum bicolor (sorghum)
Lineage: Eukaryota; Viridiplantae; Streptophyta; Magnoliopsida; Poales; Poaceae
Description: long non-coding RNA (SBIC_LNC001158)
Rfam family: MIR5387 microRNA precursor family (bases 54099-54192)
Source: RNAcentral